AAAGAAAUAAUUUUCUCUUUUGAUGUUUUGUCGUUAUUGUUGACUGAGACGAGAAAGAAAUAAUUGCUCGUUUGGAUAUUCUCUAUAUUGUAAAAGAAUUGCUUAUUAGAAUUGCUUAUUAGAAUUGCUUCAAAGCAGUUUUACCAGUUAUAAUUCAUCAGCUCCUACUCUUUGCGUUCAAUUCUCAAUCAAGAAACCCUCUCCUGACUUUCAGCUUUUAACCUCGAACACGCUCUGAUUCUGUUUAUUGUACCCACUGCUAUUGCUAGCUGUUCCCUUAUUUUGCUUUGCUCCCUUCUGCCAUCAGCUCUCUGUAUACUCAUUGGAUCAAGAAGCCCUUUUCAAUUUUCUGAUCUCAACAACACUUUGAUUCUCAUCUAUUACACUGAUUUUUUUUCCUUGUUUUGCUCAAAUACAAUUUCUCUCCCUAAUUUUGUCCCGUUCCCUUUCGCCGCCAUCUGUUUGUUCUUCGCUUCUUCAUUGAUUAACAAUUGUCCAGUCGUUUCACCUGUUCUUUUUCUGUUCCUUUCACUUCAGAUCAAUCCAUCCUCGCACAACCCCCCCCCCCCCCCCCAAAAAAAAAAAAGAAAAAAGAAAAAAGAUUGAAGGUGAUGGAAUGCAUUGUUACUGUCGUUUUAGAGGUUGUAAAAUGCUUGGCUCCUCCAACACAACAACAACUUCGUUAUUUGCGUAGUUCCAAUGCCAACUUUGAGAAUCUCAAGGCUGAAAUCGAGAAUCUUAAGGAUAAAAUUAGGAGCAUUCAGCGCAGAGUCUCAGAGGCUGAAAGAAAAGGAGAAAAGAUUGAAGAGGAGCUUGAGAAAUGGCUGGUUAAUGCGAAUAAGAUCAUUGAGCAUGCAGACAAAUUCAUUGACGACGAGGAGGCAACAAAUAAGCGAUGUCUCAAGGGUCUGUGUCCUAAUCUGAAGACCCGCCAUCAGCUUAGCAAGAAAGCAGAGGCAGAGGUGAAGGCAAUUGUCAAAAUCCGAGAAGAAGCUGGGAGAUUUGACGAUAGAAUUUCCUACCGUACGAUUCCGGAGGAGAUAUGGCUCAAGUCUCACAAAGGCUACGAGGCCUUCGAGUCAAGACUUUCUACCUUGAAGGCCAUACAAAAUGCAUUGAUCGAUGUUAAUGUUAGUGUCGUUGGGGUGUACGGCAUGGGCGGCAUUGGAAAGACGACACUGGUGAAGAAGGUCGCCAGGCAAGCUAUGGAAGAUAAACUCUUUGAUAUGGUGGUCUUUUCAGAGGUUUCGCAAACUCCAGACAUAAAAAAGAUUCAACAGGAAAUUGCCGAGAAGUUGGGCCUGGAGUUGCACGAGGAAGUUGAAUCUGGAAGAGCAAGUAGACUAUUUGAGCUAUUGAGAAAUCACAAGAAGAUCCUUGUCGUUUUAGAUAACAUUUGGAAACACCUUGAUUUGGAGACAGUUGGAAUUCCUUUUGGAGAAGAUCAUAAAGGCUGCAAACUACUGCUGACGGCAAGAGAUCGUAGUGUCCUCUUAAAAAUGGGUUCUAAAGACAACUUUUUGAUAAACAAUUUAAAUGAAGAAGAAGCCUGGAGAUUGUUUAAGAUGAUGGCCGGUGAUGAUGUUGAAAAUCGUGAGUUGAAAUCUACAGCAAUAGACGUCGCCAGGGCAUGUGGAGGUUUGCCCAUUGCCUUGACUACAGUAGCAAAGGCACUGAGAGGCAAGAGUCUGUAUGAAUGGAAGAAUUCCUUGCGAGAACUCCAAACGCCUUCAAUGGUAAACUUCGAAGGGGUAUCUGCAGAGACUUAUUCAAGUAUUGAGCUCAGUUUCAACCAUUUAAAAGGUGAGCAGCUCAAGAAAAUUUUUCUGCUCUGUAGUCUAAUGGAGAGCCAUAUUACUUUGGACUUGUUUAAGUACUCCAUGGGUUUGGGUAUAUUUAAAGGAGUCAAUAAGAUGGAAGAUGCACGAGACAAAUUAUAUGCAUUGGUCCAUGAACUUAGAGACUCUUGUUUGUUGCUUGAGGAUGAUAGCAAUGAACGAUUUUCAAUGCAUGAUGUUGUUUGUGAUGUCGCAAUAUCAAUUGCAUGCCGCCACCAACAUGUGUUUUUGGUGAGAAAUGAUGAGGAUGUGUGGGACUGGCCAGAUGAGGAUGCACUUCGAAAAUGCAAUGCUAUCUCUUUAAUAAAAAAUAGUAAUUGUGAAUUUCCUGAAGGAUUAGAAUGCCCAAACCUUGAACUUUUAUAUAUUUCUCUCAAAGAUUCUUCUCUUGAAAUCAAUAUUCCUGAGAACUUUUUUGUAGGGAUGAAAAAGCUUAGAGUUCUAGAUUUUACUCGAAAGCUGUUUUCUUCAUUUCCAUCUUCAAUUGAUCUUCUAGUAAAUCUUCACACACUAUGUCUGGAUCAAAGUGCGUUGGGGGACAUAGCAAUCAUUGGGAAGUUGAAGAAUCUAGAAGUCCUUAGCUUUUUGAUGUCUGAUAUUAUGCAGUUGCCAGAAGAACUAGGUCAAUUGAAUAAGUUGAGAUUGUUAGAUUUAACCAAUUGUUUCCAUCUAAAAGUUAUUGCGCCCAAUCUCAUAUCAAGCUUAACUCGAUUAGAAGAUCUGUAUAUGGGUAAUUGCUCCAUUGAAUGGGAGGUUGAAAGAGCCAACAGCAAAAGAAGUAAUGCUAGCCUUGACGAAUUGAUGCAUUUACCUCGGCUAACCACUCUAGAAAUUGACGUUAAAAAUGACAGUAUGUUACCAGAAGGUUUUUUGGCCAGAAAGCUCGAAAGGUUCAAAAUAUCUAUUGGAAAUGAGUCAUUCAUGCCUCCCAAGAGUGUUAGACAAGCUUGGUUUAAAAGUCGGCCGCGCUUUUCGAUCCACAGUUAUCGCAAGAGUGUAAGAGCAUUGAAGCUCAAGCUUGAUUUUAUGGACAUUUGCUCCAUGAAAUUGCAGGGCAUCAAUAACGUUGAAUACUUAUGGUUGGACAAGCUGCAAGGCACUGAGAAUGUUCUUUUCAAUUUGGACACGGAGAGCUUUUCACAAUUGAAGCUUCUCUGGGUUCAAAAUAAUCCUGACUUCUUUUGCAUCGCCGAUUCAAGGGCGAUGGUCGCUUGUGAUGCCUAUAGCUUAUUUUUAACUUUGAAAAAUAUGACAAAGCAUCGAUAAAUUAAUACUCAAUAAAUUAAAAACUUUUAUUAUACAAUAAUCUUUGCUAGUCUAGACUAAGGGAUCAAUGUGGUAGAUUAAUAAUUAUAUGAACUGUUUUAGGUAUAGCAUUUCUAAAAGAAUCCUUAGUCUUUCCAUAUAAAAGAACUUACAAAAUAAAUUAGUAAUUUAUUAUUGUGCAAUAAAAUAAUUUCGUUUUUUUCCCUAAUUUCUUUUUUACCUCUAAAAUUAGCAUAUAAAAAAUCAUUUAAUAAAUUUUAUCAAUAAUUCAAUUUUUUUUUUAAAAUAUAAUAUAAAAUAAAUACUAUAAAAUCACUGUGUGUGACCAUAGAUCAUCAAUUGACCUUAUUAGUUAUUUUGAUUGAUGAUGAUAUCUUACCCAACUUGACGGCACUAUCACUAAGUGGAAAAGAUGUGAAGAUGAUUUUGCAGGCCGAUUUCCCACAACACCUUUUUGGCAGUCUUAAACAACUAGAGAUUGUUGGAGAUGACUCAGCUUGUUUUCCAAUCUGGAACGUACUGGAGAGAUUUCACAAUCUCGAAAUACUCAUACCGUUUUUGCAUUCCACGAAGAGGUAUUUUGGAUGGAAGGAUGCUUAGAGAAACAUGUGGGGAAGUUGGCAAUGAUAAAAGAAUUAAAGCUGCACCGGCACUAUCAUCUGAUGCAGCUGUGCAAACAAGACUCCAAACUUGGCCCCAUUUUUCAGUAUCUUGAAAUUCUAAAAGUAUAUAAUUGUCAAAGUCUGUUAAUUCUAUUGCCAUCAUCAUCGGUAUCUUUUGGGAACCUAACAAAACUUGUAGCUUUCGAUUGCAAGAAAUUGAUACACUUAGUAACAUCCUCCACAGCAAAAACUCUGGUGCGACUCGUAACAGUUCAAGUAUAUGGAUGCAGAGCAAUGACAGAGGUGGUAAUAAAUGACAAAGACGGGGUUGAAAAAGAAGAGAUUGUUUUCCGCAAAUUGAAGACGUUGGAUCUGCGUGAUUUAGAUAGCCUCACAAGUUUCUGCUCUGCCAAUUACACCUUCAAAUUCCCAUCUUUGCAAGAUUUGUGGGUGAUUGGUUGUCCCAAGAUGAAGAUUUUCACUACAGGAGAAUCAAUCACGCCUCCAAGAGUAAAUGUCCGGUAUGGAGAGACAGCGGAUCAACGGCGCUGGGCUAAUAAUGAUCUAAACUCAACCAUACAACAAUUACAUGCUGAGAAGGUACGUAUAUACAUGUAUAUACAUCUUUACAAAAUUUGCUUUCUUAAAUACAAUAUAGAUAAGAUAUUUGAUGAAUAAGAAUUUUACUUUCAGCUGUUGGCGGUGCAGUCGGCGAUCUCUACCCAGUACUAAUUUCAUAGGCUUCUUAUGACUUGGGAGUUGUGAAUUUUUAGAAGAAAGCCUCAGCUGGUAAUUAAUUUUUAUUUCAUUUAUUUGAUCUCAUGGCUUGUUUCGCAAUUUCAUCUGAAUUAUUUAGAAUGGGUCAAUCGGCUUACUGUUAAAUUUGGAAUGCAAUUUUAAUGAUUCGUUCAGACUUUUGUGGACAGAUUUUGCAUCAUUGAAUGUCUUCUAGUCUAGUUUAAUUUGAGUAUUUUUUUUCUUUUUUUCUUUUUUUGAGAGUUCCCCUUGUUUUCUAAAAUUUUAUAAUUCCUUGCAUACUUUGUAUGAUAAAAUUUCAUUAAAAGCCUUCAUAUUUUAUAAUUCCUUGAAAACAUCAUUGCUGUUCUGUUAUUUUAGUUUGUUCAUUUAGUUUGGUUUGCUUCACACCUAUCUUUGUUUGGAAACUUUUUUUUAUUUUUUUGAUGAUCUUUCCAAAUGCUCUCCCCUAUGAACACAUAAUUAAGACCAGCUGAAAAUCAUUCAUCGGAUAAAAAAUAAAAAAUAAACAAAAUCUAAUCAGAGCAUUAUGCCUAGAACAAAUCCUUAGACCAUCAAAGCAAAACUCUUCGCUAUGAAAAACUAUAUUGUGGAAAUAUUGUUUGAAAACGUUGGAUACCAAGAAAGGGACUAAUCUGGUCUAGUUUUAUGAGAAGUGCAGAAGAACAGUAUUUUCUCUGUUGUUCCUAUUAAAAUUCUUUACUAUGUGAUUGUAGAAUGUCUGGAUACUGAUGAAGAUUCAGGUAACUCUUCUCCUGUGCAUCAUUUGAAAUAAGUUUUUUUUUUUUUUUUGGUAAUAUCUCCUACUGGGUUAUAGUUCAUACAAAGAGAAAUUCUUAAAUCAAGCCGGAUACUGGUAGAAACAAGUGGGGAAGUAGGCACUGAUAAAAUGGUUAAUCCUGUCCAGACUUAAUCAUUGAAGCAACUCCAAACUGGACUCCAUUUUAAAUAUCUUGACAUUCUAAGACUAUUUUACAAGCAUUUAAGUCUAUUCACAUGAUCAUCUAUAUCUUUUGGGAAUCUAAAAGAACUGUUGGUUUUCCAUUGCAAGGAAUUGUAACAUCCGUCCACUACAGCAGAAAGUCUAGUGCGACUCGUAUCAAUGAAGGUAGCUGGAUGCAGGGCAAUGACAGAGGUGGUAAUAGGUGACGGAGAAGAAGACGGAGCACCAAAUUUAAAUUCAAAACAAGAGAUUGUUUUCAGCAAAUUGAAGACAUCGAGUCUGUGUGAUUUAGAUAGUCUCACAAGUUUCUGCUCUGCCAAUUACGCUUUCAGAUAAAGAUUCUUGAAAUUGUCCUAUUUACAGCUGACAUUUCCACAAGAGUUAGAGAAAUAUAAAAAAUUCAUUAAUCGUUAGUUUUUAAUUUCAUUAUUCAAUGAAAAGUCCUGUCAAAUUAAAUUGCAAAUCUCAAUGUGCAAGUACCUAAAUUUACAAAAUUUACUUUAAAUUAAUGAAUGAAAGAAUUUAUUUUCUGCUGUUGGAGGAGUCGUCAUCUCUCUCGACAUAGUAUACGAUAUGUUUUGAUCCCAUAGGCUUUUUAAUAUAUUACCUUGUGUUGUUUGAUCUCUAGGUUUAUUUGCAAUGCGUCAGUUGGUUUAUUUGUUAAUUUUGGAAUGAAGUUGAUGCAGCUGAUGGUUGCAUAGGAUGAGUAGGAUAUCACUCCUAGAUCAUAACUUGAUCUAACAAUAUUGUGUAGGUCUUUUGUGACUCCAACAAUAAAAAAACUCAAUAUUUUUUUUAUAGAGCAAUAUUUGUUAAAGCAUGAAGAAAGGCAGAAAUAUUGUAAAUCCAUCUCAACUUUUCUGUUUAUUGUGGUCGCUGCUAGCGCUGGCUGUUUUCUUAUUUAACUUUGUUCCCUUUUGCCAUCAGCUCUUUGCAUUUUCAUUGGAUCAAGCGACCCUUUUCUUGCUUCAAUUUCUGAUCUCAAAAGCACUUUGAUUCUCUUCUAUAAUUCUGUUACACUGAUUUUCUCCUUAUUUUGUACAAAUAUCAUUUCUCUUUCCCAUUUAGCCUUGAUUUGCUUCAACUUGACUAUCAAUUGCCAAGUUGACCCUGUUGUAUUUUUAUUUUGUUCACUUCAAAUAGACCCAAAAAAAAAAAGAGAUGUUGAAUAAAGCCUAAAAUCUAAUUUGAUUUUUAAUCUGAUUUAGCUAAGAUGUCCAAUUUAAUAUUAAUAGCAAUGUUAAGGAUUCUAAUAAUUGGGUCCCAACUGAUAUGAUAGUCAUUUAUUAGAUGAUCGAAAUAUUAAUUUUACUAAUUAUGAAAUUCAUUAUCUAAUAAAAAAUGACACAUAACAAUUGGGUCUCAAGUUAGAAUUCAAAUAUUGGAAUUCUUAACAUUAUUUUAAUAUUAAAAAAUUCAUCAAAAUAAUAUAUAUUAUCUAAAAAAAAUAAAAAAUCUAAAACCAUAGAUUUACCCUUCAAUCUUCGUGAUUUGGCUGAUUUCUUUUAAAGCUUUGGUUUCUUUGGAAGUGCAACGAGAAAUAGUAAUAAGAUUAAAAAAGCAAUGAAGUAAAACUUUAAAAUUUUUAUUUUUUUAUAUUUUUAUGGGUCAUUUUACCGGCACUGGCGUUUGAUUUUCUGACUAAGCUACUGUUUAGUUCUAAGUUUUCAAUUACCCGGACUGCUCUGUUUUGUGUAUCAUCGACACAAUAAGGCUUAGCAUUUAAAAGUCGGCAGCCACGCAACUUCUUGGAAUCUUUGUGCAAGUGUUGGAUAUCGACUGUUCGAUAAUGAUGGCAGCAUUUGACUGGAGUGUAAUUGACGCAGUGGAAUAAGGAUCACAUGUCUCAAACUUUUGGUGAAGAUAUUGUCAGAUAUUUUAUUGAUUAAAGGAUCACAAAUAAUGGAUAUUGGAUGAGAAUCACAUGUUUUAUGGGAUUUACUAUGUUGCAACAGUGAUACCAUACCACUGUUUUUGUCAUUAUUCAUUGCGGCCGUUGGAUGGUAACUUAUUUAAUCUAAUGGUUUAAAUUAGUUAAUGGAGAAAUGACGCGGCAACUUACAACCCUUGCAGCCGGUUCUGUAUUGAUCUAAUAGCAUGGAGUAGUAAGCGUGCGUUUCAAAGAUGCUAAGAUACACUAAAUCCCACUAUUUCCAUACUCAUAAUCACAAGCUUACCUCAAAAAAUGAAGGGAGAAUACGAUGAAGAAGAAGAUGGCCAGUGUUUUACGCCGUUCGCCGGCAACCAGUUAGGUUUACGAUGGUGGCUAGUAACACGGAGUCCAGCGAAUAGUAGCAUACCGAACGGCUCUUUACCGUCACGUGGUUAGUAACAUAUGUGACCGCAGUGUGGCCGUCACAUAAAAGGUAUUGGGGUUACAAAGUUAGUGAUAUACGUAAUGGCUGCUUUUGCAUUCACAUUAGGGGUCACAUAUACCCUAUUUUUCUUGUAGUACAUGGUAAAUUCUAUUUGAAAAUUGCUAAGUAUUUUAGAUUUGUACAAAUUCAUUUUUGUGUGCUGGUGCCUGGUUGGAUAAUAAUAUAUAAUAAAUUAAAUUUUUGGUGUAAUUUUCACAAUAUUGUAUUAUAAAUAUGUAUCGUUGAGAGGUUUUGAAAUCGUUUUGAUUGAUCAUAAUUGAUAUUUCCACAGUUGUAAAAGAUGCCAGAGAAAAUUUGAUUAUCUUAAGAAAUGAGUGCAUGAGAUAUGAAAUCAACCAUACCGUAAAAUCAAAUUUUAUCGUGUCAUCCUUCUUGGUUCAAAUUUAUGGAAACAAUAAUCAAAUGCAUCCAUGAACUAGUAUAUUCCAACAUAUGUACCAUCAAAUUUUUGCUAUGUCAUACUUAUGUAUGUGUGUGUGUGUGUGUGUUUGUGUAUAUUGAAAUUUUAAUAACAACAAUUGGGGCAAGCAUAUGUUGGUACUUGAAGAUUUAUAAGCUCCAUUCUUGAAAAAAUAAGGCUUGACUGUUCUCGAUCUAAUUCUUUUUGUUUUAAGUUCUUAAUUAAGCUUUCUUGCUUGUUUUCAAGAGCCAGUUUUGUAAUGAUCGACAAACAUGAUUUGCAUAUAUUGCACUUGGCAUUUAUGUGUCACUUAUUAACUAGAUUUAAAUUUUAUAAAUUAAUUAAGCUGAUUAAUACUUUAUAUGUGCACUAAAUGAUAAAUACUACAUAAAUUGGGACACUAGUAACUACGUAUCCCAACUAUGUAAUAUUUGUUUGUCACAAAACCAAUCAUGGCCUGAUAUUCUAAAUAUUAUUUAGGAUACCAUUUCAAGUCCCAUGAGGGCUCUUUCCGUUAAAAAAAAAAAGUAUGAAAUAGAUGUAGAUUUUUCUUUAGAUAUUAUUACCUUUGGUGGCAAUGGUACGGGAUGAUUUGGGAUUUGACAAUUCCACUCUCAUCUUAAUUAUCAAAUGGAAUGUAAGUAUGGAUAAACUCGUCCUGUUUAUAUACUUGUGAUUAAAAUUAGGACCAAUCUCAAACCGCUCACAAUCAUGUCCCAUCCUAACUAUCCUGAAUGUCUCGAAUGCCUCCCUUUAUUAUCAUUUUAAUUCUCAUUAACAUAUUAGCAAAAUUUCCAUAUAUUAAAAAUAUUAGGGUCUGACUAUCUAUACUUUAAAAAUUACUAUGAACACUCAAUUAUUUUAUACACUCAUCUAAUAAAUUUAAAAAAUUAAGUUUCAUUUUGUACAUUUUUAAAAGUAACAAAAACAUUUUUACAUGAACCUAAUAAGUUUCUUUAAAAAAAAUUAAAUCAAUUAUUUUUAUUUAUUCAAAAUACUAAUAAAACUAUUCAGCAGACCGUGAAAGAAAAUUUUUAAGAAAUUUAGCACAUAAAACGUUGAAAGUUUCAACUAAAUUCUUUAACACAAUUUUAGAAAUUACUUAUUGUUUAUUAAAGAAUGUGUUCACUAAUGUUUUUAAUUUUGUGCAAUCAAAAAAGAAGAAGAAGAAGUUUGGGGUUAAAGAUACAUUUAAUUUUUAGUGUAAAAGUUGUAUCAAUCCUAUAAAAACUAAAAGAUCCAAAAGUUACAAGUUCCAACAUCACCCAAAUAUUACGAUUGUUUUUGGGAAGGUUAAAAGUGAUUUUAAAAAUUAAAAGCUUAUUUUAGUGUUUUAUAAAUUUUUUUUUAGUAAUUACUUUUGGCAAAAUCAUCUCAUCAUACAGUAGAUUUUGAAAAUUAAGAAAGGGAAUAGUUUUUCAAAAUCUAAUUUUGAGAAUCACUUUUAUACUUAAUCCAAUUCUCUCUCUCUCUCUCUCUCUCUCUCUAUAUAUAUAUAUAUAUAUAUAUAUAUAUAUCCUCAUUAUAUAAUAAAAAUCCAAAAUUACCUUUAUUAAUUAAGAAAUAAAAUCAUUAACUUUAAAGAAAUUAUUAUUACCACCAAUUAUAUUGAGAUAACAAAAUAAAUAAUACAAUUUAAUAAUAUACAAUAUUUAUUUUAGUUAUCAAUAAUUAUAUCUACAUAACAAAAAUAUUUUAUAUACAUGUUUGUAAAUGUGUAAAUAAAUUUUAUUUAGCUUUAUAUCCAAUUUAAUCAUUUACAUUCUUGCACCAGUUUAAUAAUAAGAUUUAUGAAACACAUAUGACUGCUUUUUAAACUAAAAGUACUUUUAAAAAUAAAUUUUACUAAAGGUUCACCUAAUUCUCUUCACGAUUGAUCAAUUUCUACAGCAUAGAUAACUGUAAUUAUUUUAAAAGCCAUAGAUUACCAAUAAAAAUGUCUAAAAGUAACAAUAAUAAACCAAAGUAAACGUACAAAAAUUCAUGCAUAAAUUGAUAAUCAACAAAAACAUCCAAAAGUUUUACUCUAAGUUUUCUAUUCAAUUGACAUAACCCUUAAAUUUCAAAAGGCAUAAUCAAUUUUGUGACUAAUCCUAUAAAAUUAGAAAAUUAAAGAAUAUUAUAUACUGAUAAUUAAAUAAUAUACAAUUAAUAAUGUAAAAAAAAAAUCAUGUUAAACAUAUUGUGAACUAAAAUAAUUGGGAGAAUUGGAGUUCCAAGAUAAAUUCCAAUCUAGUCCCAAAUCAACAAUUGGGAUUAAUUUCAAUCUUAAACUCCGAUUACUUUUAAAAUUGGUCCUAAUAAUAUGGACAAAUCCCAUUCUGAUCAGUAUGGAAUCUCAAUCCCAUAACUUUGGGUUUCGAUGGUGUUUAGUUGGAGGGAGGAGAGAGGAAGGAAAUGAAUUCAAAUUCCUUUCACUUUUCUGUUGUUUGGUUUUCACAAAUAUAUGGGAAUUCAAUUUCUAUUGAAAUUUAGUUUUCAUCAAAUUGUGCAUUUUGGAUUCCUCACCGAAGGCUGUAAAAUUCAAAUUCUCCUCCUAUUAGAAAUCAAAUCUUCCAAAAUUGUUCCUCUCAAAUAUUUAUCAAUUAUUUUUAUUCUUAUCAAACAAUUCUUAUUUAUGAUUUUAUUUUUUCAAUUUAAAUCGUCACUAAGGCGUCUAACUAAGGGCCAGUUUGGGAAUACUAUAACUUUUAAAAUAAUUAUUGUUAGUUGUGCUUUAGAAAUAAUCAGCUGUGAAGAAAAUUAAUUAAGUGUUUGGUAAAUUUUGUUUUAAAAAUACUGUGAGUUUUAAAAGCAGUUAUGGACAUUUAGUAAAUUUUACUAUUAAAUUGCUGAGAGAAAACAUAUGACUAAAAUGUAUAUAAUGUAGAUAAGAUUUACUUAUACAUAUAAAAACAUGUACAUAUAAUAUUUUUAAUUGUGUAUUAUAAUAAUUUUUAUUACAAAUAAAAUUUAUAAUAUAUUGAUUUUUUUAUUUUUUUAUCUUGAAACAAUUGAUAAUUAAAUUUGUAAUAUAGUGAAACAAAUUUAAUAAUAAUUCGACCAAUAAACUGAUAUUAAUAUAUUUAUAUAACCAAAUUAACGGGUGAAUUCUAUAAUCGAUUUCUUUUAUUAACAUCUCAUAACUAUGAGAAGUUUUAUAUUUUGAUAAAUGAUCAUACUCAAUUAUGUGCCUUAUUGGAUGAAAGACGGAGAAGGAAUGCCUUACCGGAUUCAAUUCAAUAUACACUUUUUGUUCCCAGGUCUAGCCUUUCGCGGGUACCUCAACAAAAAACUGAAGAGUAAUGGCAACAAGUGAUUGAGUUAAGUAGUUCCUCAUGUAAAAUUAUUGACUCUAGAGAUAUAGUAAUAUGGAGAAGACUAAACUAUUUCGUAUUGAUGAAUUAUAGUAACAAUUUAUUAAAAUAUUGAUUUUGAUUCUAAUUUUAAUAAGGAAGAACACCAAGAACGUUAUCCCUCUAAAUAUGUACUAUAUACAAAAAAUAAUUGUAAAAAAAGGGUAGAAAAAUAAAAGACAACUCAGAAAAUACUAUUUUUUUUAAUUAUAGAAUAUGACAUUGCAACCUAUAAUUACAUGUAAUUAUAUAAAGAUUAAAAAAUCAAUUAAGAAUUUCAAAUUAAAAUAGAUCAAUACAUGUAAUUACAAUCAAUUAAAAAUUGCAAGUAAAACUUUUGAAGUGGAAUACUAAAUUACCCGACUUAAUAAAUUAAACAAUUAAAAUUUAUUCAUCCUUUCAAAUUGUAAAAGUAUUAUUAGUCAAAAGUUUCAAUAAUAAACUAAACUCAAUUCAGCAAAAAGGUAUUUGAGUGCAAUUGUUUCUUUGUUAGGCGCUUUGCCUCUCUUUAAAGAACUAGAUGUUAAUUAUUCUUCUAUCAAAAAAUCCUUAAAAUAAUUAAAUUUUAUUUUCUAACUUGUUCUCUUAGUUUUUUUGAAACUAACAAAUAAAAUCUGAAAAUUCACAUAAAAAUUUUAUGAAAAUAUUGAUAAUUAUUACUAUAUGUUGUUCUGUAAGUACUUUUAAUACUAACAACGAUGUUAUAUUAUAUUGAUAGAUUUUUUUUUCAAUUAGAAGUUUUUAAAAUAAAUUAAAGCAAUAAUAAAAUUUUAGCUCCCUAAUUUUUCAAUCUAUUCAAUAAAUACGUAAUUUAAUCAUUUUAUAAAAUAAGUCACUAAUUGCAAUUGAAAAUAAUAUAAUUGAAUUAGGGACAUAUUUGUAAAUAAAAAAAACUAUUGUUAUAUAAAAUUGAUGAAAACAUAAGGAUAAUUGAGUUAAGGACAUAUUUGAAUAUAAAAUAUUGUUGUACUAAAUCGAUGAAAAUGUAAGGGUAAUUGAGUUAGGGACACAUUUAAAUAUAAAAUAAAAAAUCUAUUGUUAUACCAAAUUGAUAAAAACAUAAAAGUUAUUGAGUUAGGGACGUAUGUGAAAAUAAAAUAUAAACUCUAUUCUUUUACUAAAUUAAUGAAAAUGAAAAAAAGAGGUAUAAACGAUUUUUUCCCACAUGUAGGUCCGCCACUCGUGUUGUAUGAGAAUUGUAAUCCAAAAAUUUUCCCUACAAAACGAUUUUUAAUCGACAGCAAAUUUUCACUACAAAACGAUUUUAAACGAUUUUUGUUUUUUUUCGAUUAAUUUUGAAAUGUUGCAUACAUAACGAGCUGCCAUUGAAAUUAAUGUUAACAACCAAAGUAGAUGCAAAAGGAGAAACAAGCAUCAUGUGCAGUACCCACUGUGAACUACUCACAUUGGAAUAAGUUGUCGGCAGCUGGUCUGUUUGGCCAUUGAUAUUUUGACUAUUCAAUGUUGAUUUUGACCCCACUAAAUUAAGCCAUCAAAAAUUGCUGGGAAGGGAGUAAUAUCUAUUCAUAACUGGAAAUUACUCGCCGUACAAUGAUGAUUGGAGCUGCAUGUAUCAUUUAUUAUUAACAACUAACUUAUGAAAUGCUUUGAAUGUACCUCCUAGGUCGUAUUUACUAUACUGGUUAGGAGAAACUACAAUAUUAAAUUAUUUGAUAAAUACUUAUUAUAAUUUAAAAAAUAUAUUAAUUUUGUCCUCCACUUUAUGAUAAAAAAAUUAUAAUAUAUAUAAAUCAUUCAUUCUAUAAUCUUGAACUUUAUUAAAGUUCCAAAAACUAUUACUCUAUAUGAUAUACUCGGGUGAUGUUAUUACACUAUUAUACAGUACAAAAUAUAUUUGUUUUCUUAAAUUUUAAUAAAGUCUAGGUCUUGGAGAGAAGCGCUUUAUAUAUAUGUAUAUAUAAUGAUUCUCUAGUGACGACAUCCUCAUUUUAACAAAGUGAUGAUAUCACUAACAAACUAAAUAACACACAUUUCAAUACACCAAUUGAUAAAAAAAUCCAGUUUUUAAUGUGUUAAAAUAUAUGUCUUUUGUAUAUUAUUGAUAUUUUCAUUUUAACAAAGUGAAGGUCUCCUCACUAUAGAAGUGCUUUAUAAAUAUUUUCUGUAUUUUUGUAAAAAUUAUUAUUUAAAAGUCAUAUCUUACCAAAGACUAAUAGUUUUUAUUUUAUCACUAUACUGUACUUUUCAAGAUAGAACACCUCAAUACCAUGACCUUAAUUUUGAACUCUCUUGUACAAAGUUGUUGGCGGGUCUAUUUAGUUUAGUCUUUCAACUAUUUGUCGUUUGAACUAAGAUGAUCCGAAUAAAGAUAUAUAUCAAUAAUUUCCUAGUGAAACUUCGGAAAAAUAUAAAAAUCCUCUCAUAUAGUAGCAUUAUUUUAAUUCUCAGCUUGAUUAUGUUUUGAGUUAACUUAUAAAUUAUUUGAAAUAAAAAGAAUAUAAUUUAUUUUUUCCAACGGAAUUUUUUAAAUAAUUUUAUUAGUUUAAUGAGUAAUUAUACACUUACAAAGUUAUGAUAUAAAAUUAUAUCCCUAAAUCCCAAUAAUAUGACACCAAUGAACUACUGCUAUGUGUUUCUUAGUAAUUAACUUUUUAUACUAUUAUUAAUGAGAUAAUUAACUUCAACACCAAUAUAAAAAUUUUAUAUUAAUACAUCCUCUAGCUUUAGACGUUACAGACUCUGUAUGUAACGCAGCAAAUGAGGAGCAUCCACGCGUUGCAGGAGAGAGGAAAAGUUGUUGGAAUUUAGCUGAUACAAGACUAAUUUCCAUUGAGCUGUUACAUACAGAGUCUGUAAGGUAGUUUUAUUAUCAAAUAAUCAUAUGUCAUAAUCGAACCAAGCUACCAGAGCCUACCACUAAAAGAGUGAUUGAAGGGUUUUCCAAGUUUGAAAAUGUUAGUAGCAUUGGCAAAUGGCAACUUCCAGGAAUCUUCCUGCUACAAUCAAGUUGAAUCAACUAUUCAGUGAAAUACGCAAACGGCACAUAGGACCCCGCCACCCGUAAAGUCACAAUCAUUUGUUUAUUUGUCAAUCAAGUUGAAUCAACUUGAAUAAAGCCUAAAAUCUAAUUUUUUAUUUCGUUCACUUCAAAUAGACCCCCCCCCCCCAAAAAAAGAGAUGUUGAAUAAAGCAUAAAAUCUAAUUUGAUUUUUAAUCUGAUUUAGCUAAGAUGUCGAAUUUAAGACUAAGAGCAAUGUUAAGGAUCCCAAUAAUUGAGUCCCAAGUGAUAUGGUAGUCAUUUAUUCUAUGAUCGAAAUAUUAAUUUUACUAAUUAUGAAAUUUAUUAUCUAAUGAAAAAAUCACACAUAUCAAUUGGGUCUCAAGUUAGAUUUCUACUAUUGAAAUUCCUAACAUUUUUCCAAUAUUUAAAAAUUCAUCAAAAUAAUAUCUAUUAUCUAAAAAAAUAAAAUAAAAAUCUAAAACCAUAUAUUUACUUUUCAAUCUUUGGCUGAUUUUUUUUUAAAGUUUUGGUUUCUUUAGAAGUGCAAAGAGAAAUAGUAAUAAGAUUAAAAAAGCAAUGAAGUAAAACUUUAAAAUUUUUAUUUCUUUAUAUUUUCAUCGGUCAUUUUACCGGUACUGGUUUGAUUUUCUGACUAAGCUACUGUUUAGUUCUAAGUCUUGGCAAUUACCCGGACUGCUCUGUUUUGUGUAUCUUCGACACAAUAAGGCUUAGCAUUUAAAAGUCGGCAGCCACGCAACUUCUUGGAAUCUUCGCGCAAGUGUUGGAUAUCGACUGUUCGAUAAUGAUGGCAGCAUUGGACUGGAGUGUAAUUGACGCAGUGGAAUAAGGAUCACAUGUCUCAAACUUCUGGCGAAGAUACUGUCAGAUAUUUUAUUGAUCAAGUAAGGAUCACAAAUAAUUGACGCAGUGUAAUUUGCUUUUUUUGCUACUGAUGUAAGUCUUGCAAUUAUUUUUAAAUAAUGAUAUUAUAAUUAAAAAUCAAGAAAUAUUUAUAAUACUUAAAGACUGAUUCAGAUUAUUAAUUCUUUUAUAUGACUUAAUUAUUAGCUGACAAAUAAUUAAAAAGUCAUGGAACAAUACUUUUAUUCUAAUAUGACACAACUUGUACUUUCAUUCCUAUGCUAAAAUAUAUCUAACUUAUUAAUAGUCAAGAAAUAUAUCUAUUCAACAUAUAUUUGUUAGAAAGAUUAUCUACUAAUUAAUCAUUCAGACAAGAUUACGAGUCUCAACAUAAAGAGUAAUGAUAUAAUCAUAAAUUUUUGUAUAAAUUUAUUUUGUAUAAAUUAAUAUGUCAUAAUAAGAUUGGUUAAAUUAAAUAUCACUUGACUCAUAUAAUUUAUUUUUAUUAUUUUAUAUUUUCAUUCAACUAAUGAAUUAAUGUCAUGUUAAUUUAUACAAAAAUAUUUAUACAAAAAUUUAUAGUUAAUUUAUACUCCAAAUUAAGAUAAAAAUUAAUACAUUGAAAUUCAGAACCCUUUUUUAUUUUUUUUUUCCUUCUGCAGUUUAAAAAGGAGUCGCCCACGAUUAUUGAAAUAAUUUUAUCAGAUUCGCUUGAAAGUAGUUUUACGAGCAAGCGGUUUUUCCCUCUUGAUCCCCGUAUUCGUCAGCUCCUACUCUUUGCCUUCAAUUCUCAGUCAAGAAAACCUCUCCUGAUUUUCGUCUUUUGAUCUCAUACACACUUUGCUUCUGUUCAUCGUGGUCGCUGCUCGUGCUAGCCGUUUUCUUAUUUAGCUUUGUUCCCUUUUGCCAUCAGCUCUUUGCUUUUUCAUUGGAUCAAGCAACCCUUUUCUUGAUUCAAUUUUCUGAUCUCAAAAACACUUUGAUUCUCUUCUGUUACACUGAUUUCCCCCUUGUUUUGUACAAAUAUAAUUUCUUUUUCCAAUUUUGCCUUGUUUUGCUUCUACUUGAUUAUCAAUUGCGCGGUCGUUGACCCUGUUCUAUUUCUAGUUCGUUCCCUUCCCCCCCCCCCCAACCCAAAAAAAAUGGACAUUUUGAAAAGCAUUGUAAACUGCUUGUCUCCUCACGCACAACGCGAAUUUAGUUAUUGGCAUAACUCCGCUGCCAACUUUGAGAAUCUCAAGGCAGAACUCGAUGGGCUCAAGGAUGAAAGAGAAAGCAUUCAGCGCAGAGUUUCUGAGGCUGAAAGAAAAAGUGAAAAGAUUGAAGAGAAGGUUGAGAAAUGGCUGGUUAAUGCGAACAAGAGCAUUGAGCAGGCAGCCAAAUUCAUUCAAGACGAAGAGAAAGCAAAUGAACGAUGUCUCAUGGGGCUGUUUCCUAAUUGGAUUACUCGCUAUCAGCAUGGAAAGAAAGCAGAAACAGAGAAGGAGGCCCUUUUUAAACUCCGAGAAGAAGCUGGGAGAUUUGAUAGAAUUUCCUACCCUACCAUUCCGGAGGAGAUUUGGCUCAAGUCUCACAAAGGCUACGAGGCCUUCGAAUCAAGACUUCCUACUUUGGAGGAUAUAAAAAACGCAUUAAUCAAUGUUAAUGUCAGCAUCAUUGGGGUGUACGGCAUGGGCGGCAUUGGAAAGACGACACUGGUGAAGGAGUUUGCAAGGCGAGCCAUUGAAGACAAGCUUUACGAUAUGGUGGCUUUUUCGGAGGUUACCCAAAGUCCAGACAUAAAAAAGAUCCAAGAGGAAAUUGCGGAAACGUUAGGCCUACAGUUGUCCGAGGAAGCUGAGUCUAGAAGAGCUGGUAGACUAUAUGAAAGAUUGAAGAAUGAGAAGAAGAUCCUUGUGAUUCUGGAUAACAUCUGGAAACCUCUUGAUUUGGGGACUAUUGGAAUUCCUUUUGGAGUUGAGCACAGAGGAUGCAAAUUAUUAUUCACAACAAGAGAUCUUGAUGUGCUGUUAAGGAUGGGAUCUGAAAAAAACUUGUCGAUUGGCAUUUUAAAUGAACAAGAAGCCUGGAGAUUGUUCAAGAUAAUGGCUGGUGAUUAUGUUGAAAAUCGUGAGUUAAAAUCUGCAGCAACAAGUGUAGCCAAGGCAUGCGGAGGUUUGCCUAUUGCCCUAACCACAGUAGCAAAGGCACUGAGAAAAAAAGAGCUGCCUGUGUGGAAGAAUGCCUUGCAAGAGCUCCAAACGCCUUCAGAGGCGAGCGUCGACGAAGGAGUACCAGCAGAGGCAUACUCAACAAUUGAGCUGAGUUACAAGUACUUAAGAGGUGAGCAACUCAAGAAAACUUUUUUACUGUGUAGUCUUAUUACGCCAGCACCAAUUAUGGACUUGUUCAAAUAUAGCAUGGGCUGGGGUGUAUUUAAAAGUGUCCACAAGCUAGAAGAUGCACAUAACAAAUUAGAUGCAUGGGUCCAUCAACUAAGAGACUCUUGUUUGCUGCUUGAGGAUGGUGGCAGUAAAUACUUUUCUAUGCACGACGUUGUUCGCGAUGUUGCCAUUUCAAUUGCAUGUCGUGACAAAAUUGGAUUUGUGGUGAGAAAUGGCCAAAUGCAGAUGAAUUAAAAAAAUAUCUUGCAAUUUCUUUAAAAGAUAGUAUUAUUAAUGACAUUCCUGAAGGGUCCGAAUCUCUACAACUUGAACUUCUACUCAUGUCUCCCAAGAACUCUUUUGCUGUGCCUAAUAUUCCUGAGAACUUCUUCAAAAGGACGAAAAAGCUUCGGGUUUUGGAUUUGACUAGAAUGCGGUUAUUGUCAUUGCCAUCUUCAAUUGGUCUUCUAGUAAAUCUUCAGACACUUUGUCUUAAUCAAACCAUUUUGGGAGGCAUAGACAUAGCCAUUAUUGGAAAGUUGGAAAAUCUAGAAAUCCUCAGCUUCGUGCGGUCUGAUAUGGUGCAAUUGCCCAAAGCACUUGGUCAACUGACUAAGCUAAGGCAGUUAGAUUUAACUGACUGUUUCCGUCUAAAAGUUAUUGCUCCAAAUGUCAUAUCAAGCUUAAUCCGAUUAGAAGAAUUGUAUAUGGGUAAUUGCUCCAUUGAAUGGGAGGUUGAAAGAGCGAACAGCAAAAGAAGUAAUGCUAGCCUUGAUGAAUUGAUGCAUUUACCUCGGCUAACCACUCUAGAAAUUGAUGUUAAAAAUGAGAGUAUGUUACCAGAAGGCUUUUUGGCCAGAAAGCUCGAAAGGUUCAAAAUACAUAUUGGAAAUGGGUUAUUCACACAUCCCAUGCUUUUUAGACAACAGUGGUUUAAAAGUCGGCAGCACUUUUGGAUCAACAGUAAACGCAAGAGUUUAAGAGCAUUGAAGCUCAAGCUUGAUUUUAUGGACAUUUGCUCCAUGAAAUUGCAGGGCAUCAAUAACGUUGAAUACUUAUGGUUGGACAAGCUGCAAGGCAUCGAGAAUGUUCUUUUCAAUUUGGACACGGAGGGCUUUUCACAAUUGAAGCUUCUCUGGGUUCAAAAUAAUCCUGACUUCUUUUGUAUCGUCGAUUCAAGGGAGAUGGUCGCUUGUGAUGCCUUUCCUCUUUUGGAGUCACUUAUCCUUCACAACUUGAUCAACAUGGAGAGGAUAUGUAUUGAUCGGCUCAAAGUAGAGUCUUUCAACGAACUCAAAAACAUAGAAGCAUAUAAUUGUGAUAAAUUGAGUAAUAUCUUUUGGCUCUCUACUACAAAAUGCCUUCCAAGACUUGAGAGAAUUGCAGUUAUUAAUUGCAGCAAGAUGAAAGAGAUUUUUGCAAUUGGGGAAGAAGUUGAUAAUGCAAUUGAGAAGAUAGAGUUUGCUCAAUUAAGAUCUUUGAGUCUGGGGAAUCUUCCAGAGGUUACAAGUUUUUGCCGCGAGGUGGAGACUCCUUCAGCAUCACCAAACAGACAAGUGUCGCAAGAGGAAUCGACGACUAUGUAUAGCUCCAGCGAAAUCACUUUGGAUAUUUCAACUCUGCUUUUCAACGAGAAGGUGCGUAGGCUAACAGAUUUUAUUCUAUCAUGCGUUCUGUUUUGAUGUCAUACGUGGAAAAUAAUUAAAUCAUUUAAAGAAUUGAAAGAAAAUGGAAAAAAGGAUAAAAAGAAUCUCACGCGCUCACUAAUUGAGCUCUUAACAAGUAGUAUGAAUUAGAAUGCAUACUCAGCUGUCAGUUGGAAAUUGAUUCUGACUUGCAUUAAUUUGUAAUCAAAGAAGAAAAUUUCAACAAGUGCUUCCCAUAUGGAUAUUGGAUCUAACGAGAAAUUCUUAUUUUUUUAGGUAGUGUUGCCUAACUUGGAGGCUUUGGAGAUAUCUACAAUUAAUGUCGACAAGAUUUGGCACUACAAUCAUCUUCCGGUCAUGUUUCCUCGCUUUCAAAAUUUAACACGAUUGAUUGUAUACUGCUGUAUCAAAUUAAAAUACAUAUUUUCAGCGUCUAUGAUCGGAAGCCUGAAGCAGCUCCAACACCUAGAAGUAUGCUUAUGUGAGGAUUUACAGGAGAUCAUUUCUGAAAACAGAGCAGAUCAAGUGAUCCCUUAUUUUGUCUUUCCACAGCUCACCACUCUGAGACUCCAAGAUCUACCAAAACUUAGAUGUUUGUACCCUGGAAUGAAUACUUUGGAAUGGCCCGUGCUAGAAAUUCUUUUUGUGUAUGGUUGUGACAAAUUAAAGAUAUUCGCUGCAGAUUUAUCGCAGAAUAAUGAGAAUGAUCAACUUGGUAUUCCUGCACAACAGCCCCUAUUGCCGUUGGAAAAGGUAUGAAGUCAUUUUCUAGAUUUUUUAUCAAUAGCUUAUUUUUAACUUUGAAAAAUAUGACAAAGUAUCGAUAAAUUAAUACUCAAUAAAUUAAAAACUUUUAUUAUACAAUAAUCUUUGCUAGUCUAGACUAAGGGAUCAAUGUCGUAGAUUAAUAAUUAUAUGAACUGUUUUAGGUAUAGCAUUUAUAAAAGAAUCCUUAGUCUUUCCAUAUAGAAGAACUUACAAAAUAAAUUAGUAAUUUAUUAUUGUGCAAUAAAAUAAUUUCGAGCCAGUAUAAAUCAACCUUUUUUCCCUAAUUUCUUUUUUACCUCUAAAAUUAACAUAUAAAAUAAAUUUUAUCAAUAAUUCAAUUUUUUUUAAAAAUAUAAUAUAAAACAAAUACUAUAAAGUCACUGCAUGUGACCGUAGAUCAUCAAUUGACCUCAUUAGUUAUUAUGAUUGAUGAUGAUCAGAUCGUACCCAACUUGAAGAAACUAUCACUAAGUGGAAAAGAUGUGAAGAUGAUUUUGCAGGCCGAUUUUCCACAACACCUUUUUGGCAGUCUUAAACAACUAGAGAUUGUUGGAGAUGACUCAGCUUGUUUUCCAAUCUGGAACGUACUGGAGAGAUUUCACAAUCUUGAAAUGCUCAUACUGCGUUAUUUUUCAUUCAACGAAGAGGAAUUUUCGAAGGAAGGAUGCUUAGAGAAACAUGUGGGGAAGUUGGCAAUGAUAAAAGAAUUACAGCUGCACGGGCACGAUCAUCUUGAGCAGCUGUGCAAACAAGACUCCAAACUUGGCCCCAUUUUUCAGUAUCUUGAAAUUCUAGGAGUAUAUUAUUGUCAAAGUGUGUUAAUUCUAUUGCCAUCAUCAUCGGUAUCUUUUCGGAACCUAACAGAACUUGUAGCUUUCGGUUGCAAGGAAUUGAUACACUUGGUAACAUCCUCCACAGCAAAAACUCUAGUGCAACUCGUCACAGUGAGUAUACAUGGAUGCAGAGCAAUGACAGAGGUGGUAAUAAAUGACAAAGAUGGAGUUGAAAAAGAAGAGAUUGUUUGCUGCAAAUUGAAGAUGUUGGGACUGUUUGAUUUAGAUAGCCUCACAAGUUUCUGCUCUGCCAAUUACACCUUCAAAUUCCCAUCUUUACAAGAUUUGAAUGUGAUUGGUUGUCCCAAGAUGAAGAUUUUCACUACAGGAGAAUCAAUCACGCCUCCAAGAGUAAAUGUCUGGUAUGGAGAGACAGGGGAUCGAUUGCUUUGGACCAAUAAUGAUCUCAACACAACCAUACAACAAUUACAUGCUGAAAAGGUACGGAUAUACAUAGUACUCUCUAUCUCCCAUGGAAACAUUUUACAAAAUUUUUAUUUUAAUAAAAUAUAGAUAAGAUAUUUGUUAUAAAGUAAAAGUUUAAAUUGAUGAAUAAGAAUUUUAUUUUCAGCUGUUGGCGGUGCAGUCGGCGAUCUCUACCCAUUACUAAUUUCAUAGGCUUCUUAUGACUUGGGAGUUGUGAAUUUUUAGAAGAAAGCCUCAGCUGGUAAUUAAUUUUUAUUUCAUUUAUUUGAUCUCAUGGCUUGUUUCGCAAUUUCAUCUGAAUUAUUUAGAAUGGGUCAAUCGGCUUACUGUUAAAUUUGGAAUGCAAUUUUAAUGAUUCGUUCAGACUUUUGUGGACAGAUUUUGCAUCAUUGAAUGUCUUCUAGUCUAGUUUAAUUUGAGUAUUUUUUUCUUUUUUUCUAAAAUUUUAUAAUUCCUUGCAUACUUUGUAUGAUAAAAUUUCAUAAAAAGCCUUCAUAUUUUAUAAUUCCUUGAAAACAUCAUUGUUGUUCUGUUAUUUUAGUUUGUUCAUUUGGUUUGGUUUGCUUCACCCCUAUCUUUCUUUGGAAACUUUUUGUUUUUUUUUUUAUGAUCUUUCCAAAUGCUCUUUCCUAUGAACACAUAAUUAAGAACAGCUGAAAAUCAUUCAUCGGAUAAAAAAUUAAAAAUAAACAAAAUCUAAUCAGAGCAUUAUGCCUAGAACAAAUCCUUAGACCAUCAAAGCCAAACUCUUCGCUAUGAAAAACUAUAUUGUGGAAAUAUUGUUUGAAAACGUUGGACACCAAGAAAGGGACUAAUUUGGUCUAGUUUUAUGAGAAGUAUAGAAGAACGUUGUUUUCUCUGUUUUUCCUGUUAGAACUCUUUACUCUAUGAUUGUAGAAUGUCUGGAUACUGAUGAAGAUUCAGGUAACUCUUCUCCUGUGCAUCAUUUGAAAUAAGUUUUUUUUUUUUUUUUUGGUAAUAUCUCCUACUGGGUUAUAGUUCAUACAAAGAGAAAUUCUUAAAUCAAGCCGGAUACUGGUAGAAACAAGUGGGGAAGUAGGCACUGAUAAAAUGGUUAAUCCUGUCCAGACUUAAUCAUUGAAGCAACUCCAAAUUGGACUCCAUUUUAAAUAUUUUGACAUUCUAAGACUAUUUUACAAGCAUUUAAUGAAUGAAAGUCUAGUGCAGCUCGUAACAAUGAAGGUAGCUGGAUGCAGGGCAAUGACAGAGGUGGUAAUAGGUGACGGAGAAGAAGAUGGAGCACCAAAUUUACUUUAAAUUAAUGAAUGAAAGAAUUUAUUUUCUGCUGUUGGAGGAGUCGUCAUCUCUCUCGACAUAGUAUACGAUAUGUUUUGAUCCCAUAGGCUUUUUAAUAUAUUACCUUGUGUUGUUUGAUCUCUAGGUUUAUUUUAUCGUUUCAUCUUAUUAUUUGCAAUGCGUCAGUUGGUUUAUUUGUUAAUUUUGGAAUGAAGUUGAGCGGGUAUCUAUUCGGCAAGAAAUUCUGUUUAUUUCCUAGUUAUUUUACAAAGUUUAAGAGAUUUUCUUAUUUUUCUUAUUAUUUUCAAUAUUUUUAUAUUUUUUCUCUAAAUAUAAGAUUUUAAGUAUGAUUUAUUUUAUUUUUCUUAUUUCAGUUAGGAGAACGUUAUUAUGUAAUAAUAUUUUAAGUUUGCCUAUUUUGAUAAAUACAUAAUACUUAGAAUUUGUGUAAAAAGGGUCCAAUACCCUAAUUUUGUUAUUCAAACUUCUAUUAAUAAAAUUUCAGACUUUUUAAAAAAAAUUCUCUAUAUUUUCAAUCUCAACAUCUAUGUUUCCCUUUCAUCAUAAGUUUUAAUGUCUGGUUCUGAGCUAGCUUUAUGUGCAUAUUAAACAUCAUUGAAGGUCUUUUGAUCUAAGUUGUGAUCAAAAAAUUAUGCUCGCUUCUGUCUGGUCGUAUGAAAAUUGUGCAAAAUAAUAUUCUUAUAUAAUUUUUAUCCUCCAUUGUUACAAAAUCCCAAGCUUCGAAUUUGUAAACUUUGAAAGCAUGGCAGAAAACUUAGUACUUAAUAAGGCUCUGGAAUAAGACUCUUUAUGGCUUCAAUAUUUUAUUUAACAUGAAAAUUUCUUUCUAACUAGCAUCAUUGCGAAGAUAAAUUGUGGUAGUUCUGACAAGUACUGCACAAUUAAUGUUACCAGCAAUCAAUUGUUGUGAGCACCGACAACCAUUUUCAUAUUUAAGCCUUAAGAACAGUAACUCAAAAUAUGGCAAGUGGCAACCACAUCAAAUAAUCAAAUUGUUGAUAGAUUUAGAGAGCUUUAAUUUGCUUGAUAUAUAUUUGAAUAUUUCAACAGAUGCAUCUUUUCUCUACUCACGGGGCACGUUGAGUUAGAAACGGUUUGAAUGUCAAUAUUACUCCAAGUGCCUCAACCAAAUUCAGAAUGAAAAAAACCAUCUGGUUACCUGCACUUUAGUUUAAGCAGCUGAUUAAGUUAGUUAGCACCAAGUAAUUCACAUACUGGUGAGAAAUUUCAUUAGUAAAUCAUCAUACCGGGGAGGAAACCAGCAUCUUGACGCUUUUGUGACCAAGAAAAUCUGCACAACCCGAUUAAUCAAGUUGUUACCAAACAAAUGAUCAAUUUAAUCAUGCCUUAAUUUUUUCUUUUUUUUUUUUUGUGCCGGGGGGGGGGGGGGGGGGGGGGGGGGGAAUAAAAAUCGUAACUUCAUUUACAUAUAAUUUUACAAAAUCAAUAGGACACUUACGGAGCACCUCCUACAGUCAUAGCAAGUCCAUUGGCAGCUCCUCUUUGAUGCUGUUCCCGUUAUUGUGGCAUAAACCAACAAAUUAAAUUUAAACUUUGACACAUACAAAAUUUGAUAAGGCUGAAAUCAUGGAAAUGUACUAAACAAAUAAAAGAAAAAAAUAUUUACCACUGCUCUGUUUUGAAGAAGGAAUAAUCCAGUUAUUAUAGCCACCUGAUGUUACAAUUCAGGAAAAGUAAAAAAGAAUUACAAGAAUUCUAAUAAAAAAGACAUAAAAUAAUUUUAUACAUACUUGCUGAUGGAUAAUAUAACCUACGUAUAUGGAUCAAUGAUUAGGAUAUCCACUUACAGAUAAAACAUUCUUCAUCACAGAAGCACAGUUUAUCAAUAAGGCAAGGCUGAACCCAGAUAACAUUGCUAUAAAAGUGUAACUUGUCAAAAGCGCCAUCGAUAAAACCUGUACACACAUAGAAAAUUAUGGGACCAAAACCAUGAAGAAAAGUGUUUUAUAAACAAAUAUGUUUGAAACAAACUAUCAAAUGGUCUAAAUGCCACAUGGUGUGUUCAAAAUUUUACCCCUGCAAUGCGUGUUAUGAUUAUUGGCCCAAUGAUCCUCUCGACGUAAGGGUAUAGAGUGAGUUGAAAAAUAAGGAGGCUGAAUCUUGUAGUAAGUUCAAAAUGAGGACAAUCAUCAAGCAUGUGAUGGUGUCAAUGUAGUCAUUAUAAGAGAAGCGAAAGUUAUAUUUUAUAGUCUCACCAAUAAGAAAAUUUGAAGUUAUGGGAGAGUUGCUAUUACAUGUACAAUUCAGCCUGAAAAGAGAGCUAAAGGCUACGUACCGGAAUCCAGCAAGAAGCAAUAGUUACCGCAAAAGCAAAGAGUGACAUACAGAGACAGGGCAGAGAUGAAUUCAGUCAGCUGAAUCAAUUGAAGAGUGAAGUGCCAGCUCAGCUGAAGUUAGUUAGACACGUUUAGAUCAUAUUCAGUUAGUUUCUUCAUUUUCUGUUAAGCUGUAAACAGCUGAGUAUAAAUACAAGCAUCUUGUAAUCAUUGAAGUUUUAAGCAAAAUAAAAUAAAGCAUUUGAUUUCAUAAGUCUUUUACAAUUUUCUCAGCACUUGAAAAUACAUUUUCUCAGUAACCAAACAGUCUAUUCAUUCAAGCUUUUAAGCUUUCAAACAUGGUAUCAGAGCCAUACAGAGCUAGUUCCAGUAAUCAACAGUCAAGCUUUCGUAAUCAAACAACAAACAACACAAAUCAACCUACUCAAAUCAACUUCUCUUUUACUAAUCCUAUCAAGCUAGAUCGAUCAAAUUACUUACUCUGGCGUUCUCAAGUUCUAGCUUCAAUAAGAGGCAAUCGUUUGGAAGAUUUCGUCAUAGGAGACAGAUCAGUACCUGAUAAGUGUCUUCUGUUAACUGAAGCAGAUGGAUCUAUACAACAAAUUGAAAAUCUAGAAUAUCAGAUCUGGAGAUCACAGGAUUAGACACUUCUUGAUUGGCUACUGUCGUCAUUAAGUGAAGGUAUCUUAAGUCUUGUUAUCAAUUCUGAGAGUUCUUUUGAUAUAUGGAAAACUUUGGAAAAGAAAUUUGGAGUUCAAUCUAAAGCUCGACUGCUUCAGCUCAUAUAUGAACUAAACACUAUUAAAAAGGAAGCUCUUAGUGUUGAAGAUUAUUGUAUUAAAAUGAAAGCAAUAGCUGAUAAGCUGGCCAGUGCUGGUAGUUCCAUUACAGAGAAGGAUCUUAUGUUAACUAUUCUUAAUGGAUUAGGACCAGGAUAUCGUGAUAUUGCUACAUUUAUAACUGGUUCACAAAUGGAAUUUGAUGAUGUUUAUGCACUGUUACUCACUCAUGAGACUAGAUUAGAGCAGGAGCAAGGUGACAAAAGUAUGUUUAAUGCAAACUAUGCAUAUACGAAUGCAUAUUAUCCUAGAGCUUAUUUUGCACAGCCUAGAGGAAGUUUUAAACGAGGAGGUUAUUCUGGUGGUAGAACUCCUUUCUUUGGCAGAGGAAAUAUGAAUUACUCUCCAAGAAUGUUUAAUGGAGGUUUUAAAAAUGGAUAUGGCAGAGGAUUUUUUUCCUGGAAACAACUGAUUUCAAUCAUUUUCCAGCUCCUAGGAAUCCAGUACCUAGGAACUCAUCUUUUCUAACUAGAAAUGGAUCUGCUAACAUGAGUGGAUCACAAGGAAGUUUUAAUAAUGCUGGGGAGCUGGUAUGUCAGAUUUGCUUUAAGAGUGGUCAUACUGCUGAUGUCUGUUGGCAUAGAUUUGUUGAAGACUUUGUACCUGUUCCAAGAGGUUUUGGCAGGGGAAAAACACCAAGAGCAGCAUAUUUCUCAAACUUUGAUGGCUCUACUUCUAAUCCAGAUUUUGGCUAUGAAAAUCUUAAUAAUAUGUUUCCAGGUUAUGAUUCUAUGUCUGGCAAUAGUUAUUAUUAUGGAAUGGAUAGAUACACUUCUGGAGCAGCUGGAACAGCCUUUAUGGCUAAUUUUGAAGGAACUGCUGAUGAUGGAUGGUAUCUGGAUAGUGGGGCAACUCACCAUUUAACCAACAACAUGGAGAAUUUGCAGAUCAAUGAAGAGUUUAAAGGUACUGAUCAGCUUAUCAUUGGAAAUGAUCAAGGUUUGUCUAUUACUCAUGUUGGACAUGCAUUUCUGGUGUUAAGAGCUUCUAAAUCCUUAUCUACACAUGCUAGAAUAACACUUAAAGAUAUGUUACUUGUUCCUUCAAUUACCAAAAAUCUAUUAAGUAUUUCCAAACUCACAUCUGAUAAUCCUGUAUAUGUUGAAUUCUGUGGAAAUGUUUGUUUUGUGAAGGACAUGAAAGGUCAAGUUCUUCUGCAGGGUAUUGCUGAAAAAGGCCUUUACAAGCUGCUGCUGAACUCCAAUUCUCUUUCUUCAUCACCUACAUCCUAUCUUUGUAAAUCCCAGCCAAAUAAACCAGUUUCUAUGUUAUCUGCUUUCAAACACUGUGAUAAUGGUACUCGAGCUUGCUAUCAGUCUGUUUUAAAUAAGUGUAAUGCCAAACCUGAUAUAAUAACUUUGUUACAUAGAAAGUUUGGUCAUCCAAGCUCAAUGACAUUGGUGCAUUUGCUUAAAUCAUGUAAACAAUUUAAAGUCUCUUCAAAAGACAUGUUAUCUUCUGCAAAUACUUUAUGUGAAGCAUGUCAGCUAGGCAAAGUCCAUAAGCAACAUUUCUCAAUAACCGAAACAAAAACAAAAGGGGUAUUAGAAUUGAUCCAUACUGAUCUUUGGGGGCCUUCACCCACUAUGUCUAGAGAUGGAUACCAAUACUACAUUAGUUUUGUGGAUGAUUAUACUAGGUACUCUUGGAUCUAUCCUCUUAAGCUCAAAUCACAAGCAUUUGAAGUUUUUAAAUUGUUCAAAACUCAAGUUGAGAAUCAAUUUGAUACCAAAAUUAAGAUGCUACAAUCUGAUCUUGGGGGAGAGUUUAGAGUGUUUACUGAUUUUCUUAAUCAAAAUCGAAUAAUUUUUAGACACUCAUGUCCUUACACCCAUCACCAGAAUGGUCUUGUUGAGAGGAAACACAGGCAUAUAGUUGAGCUAGGCUUAACUCUCAUGGCUCAAGCAAACCUUCCUCUUCAAUUCUGGUGGGAAGCUGUUCAUACAGCAGUGUAUCAUAUUAACAGAUUGCCUACCCCUGUUAUGAAAUUCUUAUCUCCUUAUGAGAAACUUUUCAAACACAAACCAGAUUACACAUUCCUGAAGUGUUUUGGUUGUCUUUGCUAUCCAUACUUGGGAGAUUUUAACAAACAUAAGUUUGAUUUUCACACUUCUAAAUGCAUCUUUAUUGGAUACAAUCCCUCUUACAAAGGAUACAAGUGCUUAGCAAGUUCUGGUAAAGUCUAUGUUCUUAGACAUGUUAUUUUUUAUGAAAACACAUUCCCUUAUCCAAUAAACACUACAUCUCACUCAUCAGAAAACCCCAUAUCUUCUUAAACCUCAGUGUCUAAUUUCUCUCAACAACAUAUCUAUCAUCUUUCUACAAUGGCCUUACCCAACAGCAGCUUUGAAGGUCUUCAGUCAGCAGGCUCAGCAAGAAAUGAACAAAUUCCCUUUGUUCCCACACAUACAAAUAUUCUGAAUCAACAAGAACAUCCAUCACACACAUCUUUAGAGUUAUCAUCCUCAACCUCACCAUCACCAAACACAUUACCACUACAAUCAUCCAUUCUACAACCAGAGGAAAUUUCUAUUCCACAGAACACAGACCAAAUUCAAACCAGAAGUCAUUCUCAACCAUCUUCUCAUCCAAUGAUUACAAGAUCAAAAUCUGGAAUCUUCAAACCAAAGGUUUAUACAGUCACCUUAGCCAACAAAGAACUAAUACAGUUCAAGAAGCUCUUAGCAGUCAGAAUUGGCAUCAGGCCAUGGUAGAUGAGUAUGAAGCUUUGAUAAAGAAUGAGACUUGGUCACUAGUACCAUUUUCAAAUGCAUACAAAGUAGUUGACAACAAAUGGGUGUUUAGACUCAAGCAAAAUACUGAUGGAAGCAUAGCCAAACACAAGGCCAGGUUGGUUGCCAAAGGUUUUCAGCAAAUUGAAGGUGUAGAUUACUUUGAGACUUUUAGCCCAGUUGUAAAAGCUUCAACAGUAAGGAUUGUUUUGAGUUUAGCUGUGAUGCAUAAAUGGAAAAUAAGGCAAGUGGAUGUGAAUAAUGCCUUUUUGAAUGGAGAAUUGACAGAAGAUUUCUAUAUGGAUCAGCUUGAAGGUUUUAUUGAUCAACAAAAACCCAAUCAUAUAUGUAAGCUGAAGAAGGCCUUGUAUGGCUUGAAGCAAGCUCCUAGAGCUUGGUAUGACAAGCUUAAGAAUUGUCUGAUUGCUACUUGGAAAUUUCAGAAUUCAAAGGCUGAUACCUCUCUCUUUUUCAAAGAAGUGCAAGGCUCAAUGACACUUAUCGUAAUCUAUGUUGAUGACAUUCUAAUAACAGGACAUGUUAAUGAUGAGCUGGAAAAAUUCAUCUCAGAAUUCAGUAAGACUUUUGCCUUAAAAGACUUGGGAAUUCUAUCAUAUUUUCUGGGGAUAGAAGUUUCCUAUGUUGAAGACUGCAUCUAUCUAUCUCAGAAGAAAUAUAUCUUGGAUUUGUUAUCCAAAGCUGAUAUGCAGAAUUGUAAAGGCUGUGACACUCCCAUAGUUACUGGAUCAAAGCUUCAGAAAGAGGUCAAAGGCUGUUUGGCUCAAUAUAUUGAGGAUGCAACAAGCUAUAGAAGCUUAGUUGGAGGUUUACAAUAUCUGGUAUUAACCAGACCAGAGAUAACAUUUGUUGUGCAUAAGUUGAGCCAAUAUGUGACAGCUCCAACACUCCAGCAUGUUAUGGCUUGUAAAAGAGUUCUCAGAUACCUUAAGGAAACUAUAGAUUAUGGUUUGAAGUUUUCAGCAGGUGGGGAAAUGAAGAUCACAGGAUUUACAGAUGCAGAUUGGGCAUGUGAUGUUGAUGACAGAAAAUCAAUAGGAGCAUAUUGCAUCUAUUUUGGAAACAAUCUAAUUUUAUGGUCAUCCAAGAAGCAGGCUGUGGUUACACGAUCCAGUGCAAAGAGUGAAUAUCGUGCUCUGGCUUCUGCAAGUGCAGAGAUAACAUGGAUCCAGUCAUUAUUCAGUGAACUUAGCAUUAAGUGUACUUCAUUACCAACUAUCUGGUGUGAUAAUAUAAGUGCAACAGAGUUAGCUAAGAAUCCAGUUUAUCAUUCAAGGACUAAACACAUUGAACUAGACAUGCACUUUAUUAGAGACAAAGUUUUGGCAAAGGAGUUGGAGAUUAACUAUAUUCCCAACGAGGAGCAAAUUGUUGAUGCUUUGACAAAGCCUCUGACAUUCAUUCACUUCAAUUAUUUCAGGGCCAAACUCAAUGUGCAACCAUGCCCUUGAGUUUGAGGGGGGCUGUCAAGGAAGCUCAUAAUGCAUGGAAGGAUGCAGCACACGUGUGAGAUGAAUGCAGUCAGCUGAAUCAAUUGAAGAGUGAAGUGCCAGCUCAGCUGAAGUUAAUUAGACACGUUUAGAUCAUAUUCAGUUAGUUUCUUCAUUUUCUGUUAAGCUGUAAACAACUGAGUAUAAAUACAAGCAUCUUGUAAUCAUUGAAGUUUUAAGCAAAAUAAAAUAAAGCAUUUGAUUUCAGAAGUCUUUUACAAUUUUCUCAGCACUUGAAAAUACAUUUUUUCAGUAACCAAACAAUUUGUUCAUUCAAGCUUUUAAGCUUUCAAACGGGCAGGAAGUAAGGAAACCUGCAUAAAUUUGUUUUUCAGAAUACCAUCAUUUUGAAAGUACUACAGAAAAAGAAAAGGCUAAUGGCAGUAAAAAUUCACUUACUUUCCAAACAUAGAUUCUUUGGAAAAUGCCUUUGGAUAUUUCUCUGCUGGCUAGAUUGCAAAAUUAUCCACGAAUAUAUAUAAGAACAAUAUUUAUCAAGCCAAACUACUAAAAAUUCAAAAAAAAAUGCCCAUAAUAAUCAAGUAAAAAUUGCAGAACCCGGGCCAGAAAGCCACCCACUGCAGGGCCAAUAAUCAAUCCUGUGCCCCAUGCUGUACUGAGCUGAAAUUAUAUUGUACCUAAAAAUGUAACUUUUAGAGUCUCUAGCCACUGAUGAGGACACGUCUUUUGUCUGCUAGCGGAAAGCGCGUGACGGCAUGUUUUUUGUCAGAGCCUAGAGACGAAGAGGGAAGGAAAAAAAAAUAUCAUUAAUUUUUUUUCCUCUCUCGGUGGGCCCCACGUAAGGUGGGGCUUUGGUUUUUGUCGCAUUCUGUGGAGGGUGUAUAUCUAAAUCAACCCCUUGAAUACGGACACGUGUCGAUCUCAGAGAAACUCACGUUUUGUUGUUGGGACCCAUUAAUUCCCGUAAAAGUCCUAUUCUUAAAACAAGUCGAUACGAUGAUCAAUACUCCGCCUGUGGGUCCCGGCGACGACCCCCUACGCUGGGCAGUACAACACUCAAAAAUCGCCACGUGUUAUAUUUUAAAAAGCUUUGGGGGAGCGAAUCGAUAGAUUUUUUCUUUUCGUGACAAAGCACGCGGGGGGGGGGGCCUCCCUGGUGGAUUUGCCCGCCGUUGAUCAAUUUGUUUGAUGAUAAAGAUUCAAGCAAUCAUACACGAACUUGAUUCAAUGGAGCUUCAAAAGAUUGGCAUUGCAGUGAAGUCCUGAGUCUUCUACUCAUCUUUUAACAACCUUUGCAGAAGCACAACAACAGGGACAAAUUCUGCAUAAUCGGGAAAAGAAAAAUCAGAAGACGUCAUAUUGAAAUGCAUUCAUAUUAAUUUGACAAGAAGAGAAUCAAACGCAGACCUCGUUAAAAAUCUUGUAUGCAUACGCAUAUAAGAGAAGUUCAAUAAUUGCGACGCAGGAUCAUUGCCGAAGCAUUAAACAAAUACGAGGCAGAGAAAGAGGAGCUCUGAGGAAGAGCGUGUUAGUGUGGUAAUACAAUAUCCUCGAUGCUUGCUGAAUGGUGGACAGUGGCGUUGGAAUAUCAUCUAAUAAAAGGAGAGAAAGAGGUGGCAACUGGCAAAGUGGGUGAGUGAAAGUUCAAGGCUGAAGCGGUUGGCUAAACUUUGUUAAAAAGAUGCACAUAUUGAUAAUAAUAUACGACCGUACGUUGUCUGUUAACUUGGAACUCUUUAGCAUUUAAGCGAGUCUCUCUCUCUCUCUCUCUCUCUCUCUCUCUACGAUUGGGAAUUGGGAUUUCGGAUCGGGAUCUACCGUAUUCUCCGUCUAUCCUAUGCAUGUCAUCAUACAUCAGUAAGCGUGCGUGCCUCUGCGUCUCCCCCUCUCCUUUUUACACAACUAUUUACCGUUACUAUUUCUUUGUCAAUUCCCUUAUUUCGUGGUACUUGUAAUAAGACGAAAUUAACAAAGGAAGAAAAUGCUAAGGUACUUCAUUAGGCACAUUUCUCAUGCGUACUUGAAAGUAAUCAGAACCGUUGAUCUUUCCCCGAUGGGCCACCCACUGCAGGGCCAGUAAAAUUUUCUCAAGACCUUUGCAAUCAUACACGAACUUUGCAAUCAUACAUUCCUAAAGUUUGGUGUUUAUGGCGCAAUAUUUCACAUGCAUAUGCCUGGUGUAAGAGAAGUUUGAGCACAAAUAUUUGCAAGAAUUAAAUUGGAAUUAUCAACAAAUACCCCAAUCAAUACCUUUAUUGCUCCAAGUAAACCAUUCAAAGCCCCAAGGAGAAACCUUGUAGCUAUGGCCAUCCAGAAAUUCACACUAAGCCCAAAGAGAGUGUUAAAAAUAACCCUGUGAGCAUUUUAAGACAAAUAAGAAACCCAGAAAUUGCCAACGUAUCAUCAAUUUCAAGCUUAAUCAUUUGAAAAUAGAGGUCACUAACAAUGUGAUGCAUCCUAUUAUUAUUACAGGCUUUCGACCGAAGCGGUCAGCUCCCAUUCCCCACAAAAAAGAUGUUAAAGCUCUGCCAAGCAUGUAUGAAGACCCUUCAAUUUCAUCAAGGUAUUAAGAGGUUUGUCAGGAUGGCUUCUUGAGGAAUUUGAAAUGUUACAUACAUAUAUGUUAAUUAUUUGUCAGGAUGGCUUCAAUUUCAUCAAGGUAUAAAGGCGCAAGUCUGCAGUGUAAAACCCUUGUACAGUACCUUUACAGUGUCGUAAAGCCCUCGGUAGAAUGUUUUUACAGAGUUGUAAAGGCGCGAGUCUGCACAUUUGUACCAAAAAAGGACUCCAUACCAUGUGUCAUUUAUUAAACACAAUAAAAUUAUAAAAAUACAUAAAUUAACUCACCCACGUAACCAGCAUAGAAUCCAAUAUCUUCCUCCCUUUUUGCAAUGUGAAAAUCCCUAAUCUGAAAAGAAAUCAUAACAUACUGUUGUGAAAAAGCAAUGAAUUGUUUGAUAGAUAAAACUUGUCUUUUCUUAUAUUUCUAAGAAAAUCAGCAAGCAUGAUAGAAAAAUAUAAAUUUUCUCACUAGUAACUACUCUGGUGAAGGCAACAACAGUCCACUCACCAUAAAAUAAAGAAAGGGAAAGAGAGAUGCGACCGGCAGAACUGAAAAAAAAAAAAUCACCAAAGAAUUAAGGACAAAACUAGAAGAGCACAAUAGGCCAAAAUCAUUGUAAAUGGUUCUCUCAAAAAUCAUUAUAUCGAGUUGAAGUUGAAAAAUUUACCAGUUGCAAGCACAACAAUCUAAAUUAUAAAAAGCUUGCGAAUUGGUAAGCCUCGUUCCGACUCUUUAAGCUUAUCAACCUUACAGCCUGAGCAGUUCUCAUAAUAUUUCUUCUUCAGCAGCGGCUCUCUCACUUUCGCCUCCGCCAUACUUGAAAAAUUUUCAGCUCAAGUAAUCGUCUUAGUCUAUGCAAUCCAAUUUCAAUGCCUAAAUAUAAGUACUAGAAAAUAAGUAACAAAAUCAAUAUGCUUAAGGAUAUAGUAGAACUAUAUAAGUGAUCAUUUAAAGAAUUUUCAAUAGAAUUGUAAAAUCAGUUGAUUUUGCAGCUGGGUCUGUCACCACCAUGGUAAUUAAAAUUAUUGGAUCCCAUGUAAAACAAAAUUUUUUCAUUACAUGCCCUCAUUGCUGACGUCCAAUUAAUCAUUACUCUUGUGAGAAUAAUUUUUGGUGACAAGAACGGCGGCAUCCUAGGACGUGACAAAAUAGUCACAAAAAUCCCUUAUUUUAAAAAAUGAUCAUGAAAAUUUAUCCACGGACACACAAAUUCAGGAUCUAUGUAACUAUUUUUAAAUACAAAAAGAGGUCUAUAUAUAUAUUUGAAAAUAAGGGAUAUUCAUGAUUACCAUGUUAAGCCACGAGAUGUCGUGCUGUUUUUUUAUUUUUCAUUAAAUCGUUGUUACACAAUUCGACAUGUAAAAGUAAUUUUUUUUUUUUGAGAGAUGGUAACAAACAUAGUGACAAAACUAUCAAAGUACCGUCUAAUGAUGAAACUAAUUGUUAAUUAAUUAAUAAAAAUACUAAGGUGACGUUUGUUUUUUAACUUAAUGACUUAAAGUGACUUAACUUAAUUAAUUAAGUUAAUUAGAGGUGUUUGUUUUUAUAACUUAAUGAGACUUUUUAGAUAAUUUUGACUUAAUAAAAUAAGCCAAUUUUUUUAGUUUUUUACUUAAUGGAGAAAUUUGAAUUAAGUCAAUUACUUACUAAUGUCAAAAAUAUCCAUGUUUUAUAAUUUAUUUUUCAUGUCUAUCCCAAAACUCACCCAUAGACAUUUAUCCCACAUAAAAAUAUCCUUGUUUUUUCUUUCUUAUAUUAUAUAUGAUAAAAUUUAAAAUUUAUGGUAUUUUAUAUAUAUAAAUUCCAAAAUAAUUAUGUAUUCACUUGAAUAUAGUUUUACUUAUAAAUGUUAAAAUAUUGUGGUAUUUAAUAUAUUAUUUAUUUGACUUUCAAAUUUAAUAAGGAUACAAAAGUAAAAGUACAUAUUUUCAGUUGAAAAAAACAAACAACUUAAUACUUAUUUUCUGAGAUUCAGACGAAAAAACAAACAUGUUAUUUAGAUUCAGACAUUCAGAUCUAUUCAGAAUUCAGACUAAUUCAGGUCUAUUCAGAUUUCAGACAAAAAAACAAACGCCACCUAAGUGAUUGUAGCAGUUCCGGUCACAGUCACAGUCAAAUACAAUUAGGAUAAUUUAAUUUAAAUAAUGUGUAAUUUAGCGUUAGCCCCAAUUGUUUUGACAUUUUGCAUUGUGCCCCCCAAUCUUCCGACCAUGUCCACCACCCUCAUUUCUUUCAAAUCUAAUGUUAACGGAAAGAGGGGUAGAAUGGUAAUUAACACAAAAUUAAAAUAAUAUAUAUAAUUAAAAAAAAAACCCUUUUUUCCUUCGCCGCCUCUAUAAUUUAAUUUUGGGUUUGAUAUCUUUAGUUUUAAGAUUUUUGAUUAUUGAGUUUCUUUUUAUCGAAUUUUCUUAGUAUGAAUUUAUUUUGUAAUAGAAUUUUACAAUGAAAUUUGCUCUCAGGGAUUUUGGUAUCAUUAGUUUAGGGUUUCUUUCUAUUGGGUUUUAUUUAUUUUGGUGGGAUUAUUGGACUUAUUUUGUAAUGUACUGAUGAAUGUGUGUUUGAUUUUUUUCUUUCACAUUGGAAUCAUGCUUUGCCUCUGAUUUUGUAAUUUACUAGGUUAUAAUCUUGGGUUCGUAAUCCGGAAAAAAAUUGUUUCCAUAUAAUUUUAAAAAUAUUAUAAUAAAUUUUUACUUUUUGAUUUAAAUUUUAUUAGUUGUAAGGGUAUUUUAGUACUUAUAUACCCAAUUCAUUUCAAAACAGGGGGUAGUAUAGUCUUUUAAAUUUAUAACAGCCUAAAUAGUUAGAUUAGUUGAUUUUUUAAUAGAAAUAGGGGGAGGUGCACAUGGUCAAAAGAUGUGGGUGCGCUGUGUGAAAUACUGAACAAUUGGGGGCUGAUACUUAAUUAUCCUUAAAUAAAUUAUUAGUUUAAUGGAAGGAACAAAAUUCAGGAAAAGAGGAAUCAAACUGCAAAAGGAAUUAGGAUACCUGAAAAGAAAGAAUGAAAAUAACUUUUUUUUAAAAUUAUUUAUUUGGACAUUGUGACAAACAAGUGAUGUGCAUUGUUAAUUCUGAUUACCCCAAAAUGUCGAGUCUUUAAAAACGACAACAUUACAUGAUUCAUGAGAAUCCUAUCACUUUGAGAUUAAUUUAAUUAAAAAAAAGUUCCGUUUGCUUAAUACUAAAAUGUCACACUGAUCCAUAGUUGAGCCAAUUAUCUAGUUAAAAGCUACCUCCAUAUUUUUUAUUUUUACCCUAAUGCAUGUUUGAUUCUUUUAAAAUUUUACGUUAUAUAUAUUAAACAAAAAUUAUAAUUUUAAUCAUUGGAAAAUUAAUGACAGACAUCUUUUGAAUAAUUUUUUUUUUUGAAAAAUACAGAGCUAGAGAUAAUGCUAUAAUUGAUUGAAUAAGAAGGCUACAACUUGAUGAUAACCUUAUUGCAAUGUUGCGUGAUCUCAAUAUAUUAUUGGCUUUUGUGUGAGUAAAAGUUGCUGGCUCGUGUUUUACUAAUUUGCCUUUGUAUUUGACUGGCUCGACAAAGAAUCGAUUUACCUCAUACUCAAAUUACAAACAUCAAAACCGGAUCUGUCAUUACGUUAAUUGGCCUCCUAAAAUAAUCAAUCACUUUCUCUUUAGUCUACCAUCCACUCUUUCCAGUCGUUAAUUAUUCUGUACCCAUCAGCUCUUUUAGCUCUUUACGUCGUGAUAGAAACCCUUUUCUUGUUUCCUUCAUCUCAUCUGAAAAACACAAUUGCUUGUCCUAUCGCUGUCUCUUUGUUUUUACUUUCGUUUGGCCUUCUUCGCUUCUACGUUUUUGUCAGGCUUCGAGAUGCUGGAAAUCAUUGUGACUAUCGUCUUGGAACUUGUAAAAUGCUUGGCUCCUCCAACUGCACGCCAACUUGUUUAUUUGCGAAAACGGAACUACAAUGCCAACUUUGAGAAUAUCAAGGCGGAAAUGGAGAAGUUGAAGGUUGAACGUACGAGCAUUCAGCGCAGGGUUUCAGAGGCGAAAGAAAAAGGGAAAGAGAUUGAAGAGAAGGUUGAAAAGUGGCUGGUUAGUGCGAAGUGCGAACGGCAUCAUUGACCGGGCAGCCAAAUUCAUUGAAGAUGAGGAGUCAACGAAUAAGCGCUGUGUGAAGGGCUUGAGUCCUAUUUGGAAGAGUCGCUAUCAGCUUAGCAAGAAAGCAAAGACGGAGGUGAAGGCCAUUAUUGAACUUGGAGAAGAAGUUAAGAAGUUUGAUACUGUUUCCCACCGUACCAUUCGGGAGGAGAUAUGGUUACGAGGCCUUCGAAUCAAGACUUCCUACUUUGCAGUCUAUAAAAAAUGCAUUGACGGAGGCGAAUGUCAGCAUUAUUGGGGUGUACGGCAUAGGCGGCAUUGGAAAGACCACACUGGUGAAGGAGUUUGCUAGGCAAGCCAGGGAAAAGAAGCUGUUGUAUCGGGUGGUUUUAUCAGAGGUUUCAUAAACUCCAGAGAUAAAAAAGAUUCAAGGGGAAAUUGCAGAGAAGUUAGGUCUGGAGUUGUCCGAUGAAGCUGAAUAUAGAAGAGCUAGCAAGCUGUAUGACCGAUUGAAGAGUGAGAAUAAGAUUCUUGUGAUUCUAGAUAAUAUCUGGAAACAUCUUGAAUUGGAGACGGUUGGAAUUCCUUUUGGAAAUAAUCAUAAAGGAUGUAGAUUGUUGCUGACAGCACGAGAUAAUACUGUGCUUUUAAGUAUGGGCUCCAAAGAUAACUUUUUGAUUGGCAAUCUAACUGAACAAGAAGCCUGGAGAUUGUUUAAGAUAAUGAAUGGUGAAGAUGUUGAAAAUUGUAAGUUCAAGUCUACAGCAAUUAAUGUAGUUAAGGCAUGUGGAGGUUUGCCCAUUGCGUUGAGGGCACUGAGAAACAAGAGUCUCCAUGAAUGGAAGAAUGCCUUGCGAGAGCUCCGAACGCCUUCAAUGGUAAACUUCGAAGGUGUGUCUGCAGAGACUUAUUCAAGUAUUGAGCUGAGUUUCAAUUAUUUAAGGGAAAUUAUCAUUUGUAUACCCUUAGUUUACUCCAUUAUCAAAAAUACUACAAUACUUUGAGGGUGUAUCAAUUGUCCACCCUAAGUUGACAAAAUGUAUCAGCUGACCACCAAACCGUUAGUUGCCGUUUAAGUAUGAUGACGUCAGAAGGGUAAUUUGGUCUUUUCAUAUGAUACAAGUGAUAAUUUAAGGGUAUAUAAGUGAUAAAAAGAGAAUUUAAGGGUAUACAAGUGAUAAUUUUCAAGGGUAAGAUUGUCAAUUCACUGUAACUCCGUUAACUUUCAAACGGCAACUAACGGUUUGGUGGUCGGCUGAUACAUUUUGUCAACUAAGGGUGGACGAUUGAUACACCCUCAAAGUGUUGUAAUAUUUUUGAUAAUAGAGCAAAUAUAGGGUAUAUGAAUGAUAAUUUCCCAUUAUUUAAAAGGUGAGCAAGUCAAGAAAAAUUUUCUGCUUUGUCGUCUAGUAGGUAACAGUGUUUGGUUUUCAGACUUAUUUAGAUACUCCAUGGGUUUGGGCAUAUUUCAAGGAGUCAACAUUCCCUUCAUAUUUACCAAAGGUAAGUGAUAAAUCCUACAUAUCCCACUCAAGAAUGCAUAAGUUUCUUCAAUCUCAAGUACCUAAAGUUUUCUUCUACGUUUAUAAAAAUUUCAGCACCAUCUCCCUAUAAUUCUCCAAGCUCACGACAUAGCUAUAUAAGUGUUUAUGUGUUAUGCCAAAACAACACAUGACACCCGUUCACCUAGAACGUACCCAGAGAACACGAGGAGCAGCUACUGAAAAAGCCAUAUUUAUGUGGAAAGAAAACUUCAGCUACUAGCUACCAGAGAGAACUAUGCAUUCCCAAACUGUCCAAGCCUGGACAAUUCAAGAAUUAUUAAUAGACAUAUGAUCCUCACUAUCAUCCAAAGAUGACACUAAUACAACAUGUGUCUAUUAAUAAUUUCUUAAACAAGUCUAAGCUUUCAAUGCACGUAUCAAAAGUUUAAAAUUGAAUCUGAAAUUUGAAUAACACAUAAAUAUCAUAAAUCUCUUCAAUUUAUUCCUGAAACAAUGUAGCAUUAUUUCACACGUCAUUUCUUAAGCAAAACCAUAAAAAAUACAAACGAUAAAUACAUUUUCCCACUGAUGCAGAUUAUGUUUACUGAGUAAUAAGUUUUAUGUCAUUCAUGUUGAAAUACUUCUGCCUAUUCUUUCAACAUAUAACUAGUACGUACACACAAUUAAUAAAUUUAAAAAAAAAAACUGGUGGUGAAUCUUGCAAAAUCUUCCUUUUUUCUUUUUUUUUUCUUUUUCUUCUUUUUUUUGGGGGGGGGGGGUGUGUUGGGGGAACUAUGAAUCUUGCAAAUCCUCAAGAAGCCAUGUUAAGACAAGGCCAGCUUACUAUUAGGGUAUGAAAGAUAAAACCUUUUAUUUCCUUUUCAGAAUAAAAAGGACAUUGACAGUGUUAAAAAAAAUCUAGAGGAUUUCAGGCCUCCAGAUCCUUACAAAUCAAGGAUAUUAAAAAAAAUUACUUAAGAGGAGAAAGGUUAUGCUCAUUUGUAUCUUGUUAGAAGAAAUUGAUCCAAAGCCUCAGUUUUAAUUUGCUUCAUAUAGCCAAUGACUAGGUGUUUAAAAACCAAUGAAUAUUUUUAUAAGAAAUCAACAAUAUUAUUGAAAGAAAAACCAAAUAAAAAUAAUAAAGCCAAUGAAUAGAUCAAGGCUCUUUGUGGUCUAAAACUAAUCAAACUAAGUUGUGGGCAAAGGCGAAUAUGUUUGUUUGGUCAAUAAUAAGCUCAACAAAUCACUAAUAAUCACCUAAUCACUAUUCCUUAUGCUAUGCAAUAUAAUGGCCUGGGUAAUGGCGCCAAGGCAGACAAUAAGUAGCUAGCCAGUUAUGAUAGUUGAUUAACUUAACCUACUGGAAAUCUGAAGACCAAAACGAAGAAGCUUUGUCUAGAACUAGAAUAGGAACGUUCGUACCCAAAACUAAUAUACACAAUUAAGAAACUUGAUUAUAUGUAUAUUUCUGUUGGCCACACUUAAAGAGAAUUUCCAAAAGAUGCUAAGGUACACCAAAUCCCACUAUUUCAUACUCAUAAACACAAAAAACCAUGGUAAAAAUUAAUGACUAUAUCAAAUAAAAUCGGUGAUAGGACGUUGAGAUUAGGACAACUUGAUUUGUAUACCGUAAAAUAACUAUAUCUGCAUGGUGAACUAUAUUUCUGUUAGAACUCUGAAGUUUUCUAUUAAAUUUUUUUCUCUGUUAGGUAAACCACUUAACUGAAGUGCUUAAGCCAAUUUUGACAAUCAUAGACAUAAAAGUAUUAAUAGGCUCAUUCAAGUGAAAUGAGCAUUAUUUCACACAUCCUUUAGGUUUUUAAGUCAUUUAGAAGUCAUUCAUGUUAAAAAAAAAAAAUUCAUAUACUUUCAAUAUAAUUAGAACAUACACAAUUAAUUAAUUAAAUAAAUCUGUUUCAGCUAGUAUAGGAACUUAAUUAAUCAAAGCUAGUAGUUAUAGCUAGGACUUGAACGAGGCACCUUUCAAAGUUCAAGAAGAGCAUCUGAACAUAAUGAAAGCACUUUCUAGAUAUGGUAAUGAUGCUUUACAUCUACAUGCUCUUACACAAUAUGAACUUUCAUUUACUCCAAGCUCUUAUUCUACAAGUCAAUUCAGUUUGUAGAUGCAAGCCAUUGUAAAAACUUUUGUAUUAUAAUUUCUGAAAAUAGAACGUAACAUUAUUAAUAUAGAAUCAGCAAUGUAUAUAACUUAUCAGACAAUAUAACAAGCACUUGGUGAGCAUACAAGAUAAACUAAAAUUUAAUAAUAUGUGGAAUUAAAGAUAAACUAAAAUUUAUGUUUAAACAUAAAUUUAAAGCAAAUCGAAUUGCAAAACAUUAGAAUGGAUGUUGGAAUUAAAGCUAAAUUCAAUAGUAAUUCAAAUGAAUCCAUUUGAACUUUGUAAAUUCCGCAGAACAAAAUUAAUUUGAGUGAGCAAACUCACCAAUGGAACAAGAACACAGGGGCUUCAACUUGUAGGAAUAAAAAAAUAUUGCUGGCGGGACAAAAAUUGACAAUAACGGCUACAAUACGAAUUAAAAAAAAAAUCAAAAUCUAUAAUUACAAGCUAAGUAAGAGAAGAAACUCAUAAUCACAAGCUUACCUCAAAAGAUGAAGGGAGAAUACGAUGAAGAAGAAGAUGCCCGGUGUUUUACGCCGUUCGCCGGCAACCAGUUAGGUUUACGAUGGUGGCUAGUCCAGCGAAUAGUUUUCUAACUGGAAAUAAAUUUAAAUUUCUAAAAUAGUACUAUACCGAACGGCUCUUCACCGUCACGUGGUUAGCAACACAUGUGACAGCAGUGUGGCCGUCACAUAAAGGGUAACAAAAGCAACUCGGGGUUACAAAGUUAGAAGUUAGUGGCAUGCGUAAUGGCUGCUUUUGCAUUCACAUUAGGGGUCACAUAUACCCUAUUUUCUUGUAGUACAUGGUAAUUUCUAUUUGAAAAUUGCUAAGUAUUUUAGAUUUGUACGAAUUCAUUUUUGUGUGCUCGUUGGAUAAUAAUAUAUAGUAAAUUAAAUUUUUGGUGUAAUUUUUACAAUAUUGUAUUAGAAAUAUGUCUCGUUGAAAGGUUUUGAAAUCGUUUUGAUUGAUCAUAAUUGAUAUUUCGACAGUUGCAAAAGAUGCCAGAGAAAAUUUGAUUAUCUUAAGAAAUGAGUGCAUGAGAUAUGAAAUCAACCAUACCAUAAAAUCAAAUUUUAUCAUGUCAUCCUUCCUGGUUCAAAUUUAUGGAAACAAUAAUCAAAUGCAUCCAUGAACUAGUAUAUUCCGACAUAUGUACCAUCAAAUUUUUGCUAUAUCAUACUUAUAUAUGUAUAUUGAAAUUUUAAUAACAACAAUUGGGCCAAGCAUAUGUUGGUACUUGAAUAUUUAUAAGCUCCAUCCUUGAAAAAAUAAGGCUUGACUGUUCUAAAUCUAAUUCUUUUUGUUUUAAGUUCUUAAUUAAGCUUUCUUGCUUGUUUUCAAGAGCCAGUUUUGUAAUGAUCCAUAAACAUGAUUUGCAUAUACAGUAUUGCACUUGGCAUAUACAGUAUUGCACUUGGCAUUUAUGUAUCACUUAUUAAUUAGAUUUAAAUUUUAUAAAUUAAUUAAGCUGAUUAAUAUUUUAUAUGUGCACUAAAUGAUAGAUACUACAUAAAUUGGGACACUAUAAGUACGUAUCCCAACUAUGUAAUAUUUGUUUGUCACAAACCCAAUCAUGACCUGAUAUUCUGAAUAUUAUUUAGGAUACCAUUUCAAGCCCCAUGAGGGCUCUUUCCAUUAAAAAAAAGUAUGAAAUAGAUGUAGAUUUUUCUUUAGAUAUUAUUAGUGAGAGUACCUUUGGUGGCAGUGGUCCGGGAUGAUUUGGGAUUUGACAAUUCUACUCUCAUCUUAAUUAUCAAAUGAAAUGUAAGUAGAGAUAAACUCGUCUUGUUUAUAUAUUUGUGAUCAAAAUUAGGACCAAUAUCUAACCACUCACAAUCAUGUCCCAUCCUAACUAUCCUGAAUGUCUCGAUUGCCUCCCUUAAUUAUCUUUUUAAUUCUCAUUAACAUAUUAGCAAAAUUUUCAUAUAUUAAAAAUAUUAGGGUCCGACCAUCUAUACUUUAAAAAUCAUUAUGAACACUCAAUUAUUUAUGCACUCAGCUAAUAAAUUUAAAAAAUUAAGUUUUACUUUCUACGCUUUUUUUUAGGAGUACUUUCUACACUUUUUAAAAUAACAAAAACAUCUUUACAUGAACCUAAUAAGCUUAUUUAAAAAAAUUAAAUCAACUAUUUUUAUUUAUUCAAAAUACUAAUAAAAAUAUUUAGCAAACCGUGAAAGAAAUUUUUUAAGAAAUUUAACACGAUUUUAGUUAUUACUUAUUGUUUAUUAAAGAAUGUGUUCACUAUUGUUUUUAAUUUUGUUAGUAAAAAAAAAAGAAGAAGAAGAAGUUUGGGUUUAAGAUACAUUUAAUUUUUAGUGUAACAGUUGUAAUAUAUAGCUUUAUUUACCCAAGUGGGCAAUACAUUUAAUUUUUAGUGUAACAAUUUUAUUCAUACGAUGCUUUUAAAACUAAAAGUACUUUUAAAAAUAAAUUUUACUAAAUGUUCAGCUGAUUCUCUUGACAAUUGAUCAAUUUCUACAGCAUAGCUAAUUGUAAUUAUUUUAAAAGCUACAGGAUUACCAAAUUGACCCUAAAUCAAACCAAUAAAAAUGUUUAAAAGUAAUAAUUAUAAACCAAAGUAAACGUACAAAAAUUCAUGCAUAAAUUGAUAAUCAACAAAAACAUCCACAAGUUUAACUCCAAGUUUUCUAUUCAAUUGACAUAACCCUUAAAUUUCAAAAGGCAUAAUCAAUUUUGUGUCUAAUCCUAUAAAAUUAGAAAAUUAAAGAAUAUUAUAUACUGAUAAUUAAAUAAUAUGCAAUUAAUAACGUUAAAAAAUAAUGUUAAACAUAUUGUCAACUAAAAUAAUUGGGAGAAUUGGAGUUCCAAGAUAAAUUCUUAUCUAGUCCCAAAUCAGCAAUUGGGAUUAACGAGCUACUAUUGAAAUUAAUGUUAACAACAAAAAUAGAUGCAAAAGGAGAAACAAGCAUCGUGUACAGUACCCACUGUGAACUGCUCACAUUGGAAUAAGUUGUUGGCAGCUGGUCAAAAAUUCAAUGUUGAUUUUGAUCCCACUAAAUUAAGUCAUCAAAAAUUACUUUCCGUACAAUGAUGAUUGGGCUGCAUAUAUCAUUUAUUAUUAACUAACUUAUGAAAUGCUUUAAAUGUACCUCCUAGGUCGUAUUAUUUACUAUACUAGUUAGGAUAAAUUGCAAUGUUAAAUUAUUUGAUAAAUACUUAUUAUAAUUUAAUAAAUAUGUUAAUUUUGUCCUCCACUUUAUGAUAAAAAAAUUUAUAAUAUAUAUAAAUCAUUUAUUCUAUAAUCUUAAACUUUAUUAAAGUUCGAAAAACUAUUACUCUAUAUGAUAUAAUAGUGUGAUGUAAUUACACUAUUAUACCAUAUAAAAUAUAUUUGCUUUCUUAAAUUUUAAUAAAGUCUAGGUCUUGGACAGAAACACUUUAUAUAUGUAUGUAUAAUGAUUCUCUAGCAACGACAUUCUCAUUUUAACAAAGUAAUAAUAUCACUAACAAACUAAAUAACACAUAUUUCAAUACACCAAUAAAUAAAAAAAUAAUUUUUAAUGUGUUAAAAUAUGUCUUUUGUAUAUUAUUGAUAUUUUCACUUUAACAUAGUGAGGAUCUCCUCACUAUAGAAGUACUUUAUAAAUAUUCUUUGUAUUUUAGUUCUAAGCUCUGUUUCGUGUAUCAUCGACACAAUGAGGCAUAGCAUCUAAAAGUCGGCAGCCAUGCAACUUCUUGGAAUCUUCAUGCAAGUGUUGGAUAUCGACUGUUCGAUAACGAUGGCAGCAUUGGACUGGACUGUAAUUGACGCAGAUAUUGUCAGAUAUUUCAUUGAUUAAGGAUCACAAAUAAUGGCUAUUGGAUGAGGAUCACAUGUUUUAUGACAGUGGUAAUGGCAUGCUACUAAUGUAAGUCAAGCAUUACUUUUAAAUAAUGAUAUUAUAAUUAAAAAUCUAAAAAUAUUUAUAAUACCUAAAGACUAAUUCAGAUUAUUAAUUUGUUUAUAUGACUUAAUUAUUAGCUGACAAAUAAUUAAAAAGUCAUGGAACAAUAUUUAAUUGACGCAGUGGAAUAAGGAUCACAAAUAAUGGAUAUUGGAUGAGGAUCACAUUGGAGUGUUGUGAUACAACACAUAUUCACAAAAGCGUUGUUGAUGAAGUCUAGUACUCUAAUGCUACUUUAUUAUGUGGGGGCAGAGCAGUAAAUUUCAAAGCGAAAUUAUAGAUGUGUUUUAUAAUGGGAUUCAUAAGAUUUUAUUUUUAAAAAAUUAGUAAGGUUUAUUGAGAGUCUCACUAUAGCACAUGAGAAAAUAUCAUUAGAGAAGUUCAUCAUGACCUAUCUCGUGUAAAUUUCUCUUCUAGCAAUUGUGAAUUUGAGUUUAGUUUUAGGGCUCAUUUAAACUAUGGUACCAUAGUGGUGCCAUAUUAUAAUUGGGUCUAACCAUUGACAACUCUGAUGACUACCGUAGAGUGGAUUCAAUGGUACCACUUUAUCAGGUAUUAUUAAUUUUUAUUUCAAAAAUUGAAACUUUCAGUUUAUUACAACUGACAGCUGACCCCACACAUUUCGAUGAUUAUAAUUUAGGCCAAAACUACAUUGCGUCGGGGGUUUGGUACCCCACUCCUUUGUCUGUUAGCAAGGUCAGCGUUGGAUUUGAUCUGACGGCUGCAGAAGGGACACAAAUAUAAAGAGGAGUAACCUGAGGUAAAGGUAAUAAGCCGGUCACCUGCAGAAAAUAAGUGUAUGAUAAAAUAACACAUGCAAUAAAUUUUGUUUGUUUUUUUUUUUUUUUUUUGAGAAGACACAUGUAAUGAACUUGCUGGAAGCGUAUAUGCAAGUAAUGGUUGGAAACAACUUGCUGGAACCGUGCAAGUAUUGGUUGGGCUAAGACUGACAUGAAAUUUCCCCAAUAGUGUCCAAAACAUUUGCAAAUAGUUAAUUCAAAGCGUAAAUAAAUGCUGGAAAAAAUACGUAUUUUUUAUUUUAUUAUUAAGAAUACAUCUUUUGAUAAAAAAAGAUAAAUGAUUAAUGGUACAUAUUAGUAACAAAUAUACUAAAAAAAUUAUCCAUAUAUUUGAAAAAAAAUUGUUAACAAUACAUAUUUUUUAGAAGUACACAUAUUAUACCAUACAAAAAUUGAGUUGUAUCAUGGACAGCCAUAAACUAUGAACAAAGAUUACGAUCGAAACUCCACAUGCAUAUUUAAUUUGUACAUUUUUUUCAGAAUGCGUUUCCCACCAUGGGAAUAACCAAGGUUCUUCAGGCAAAACACUACGGUAAUUCAUUAUCAUAGACAGGAAAAAGACAAUGGCAAAGAUCAAUAAUUUAACACAUAAGAAUGAGUGAAUGACAACAUCAAGUGAGAACCAUGCACAAUCCUUUUUAUUAGAGAUCCUUUCUUAAAUCUUAAAUAAGAACAUUAAAUAAGCUUGAAAAAUAUUGGUAACUGACCCAAUACACAUCCAUCUAACGGAAAACAGCGGACAAUUUGAUGCAUGUGUGGAGCACUUGAGGAAACAGAGCAUCCACAGAAUGCCUAAAUUUGAAAAAAAAAAAAGAAAAUAUUUGCAUUUGACGAAAAGGACUUUGAGCGUUCAAAUACAAAGUGUCAAUUAACCUUACAAGAUACAUCAACCAUCAGAUAUGCUCAACAUGCAAUACCAAAUUAAAUUACCUAUCUCCAGGGUUGGAUUUGUCUUCAAUCAGAUGAAUGUUGGAGAGAAUAUAAUUGAAAGAAUGGCAUCAUCUACCAUGCAAGGUAAGGCUCCUUACAGGUGCUCAAUAUGACACCACAAAAGAAAAUACAAUAUCAUAGACACAUCACCAACAUAUAUGCAAACAACCAAUUCUCACAGCAUGUAGUGCAACAACUCACAAAAUAUGAAAUUUAACAUCAUCUAAGCAUUUUUCUCAUUAAAGAACCUAACUGAAAGUAGUAAACAUAGAGACAUAUAACAGCUUUAUAAGUACAGACCACAAAGUAGAACUUUGUUCGAAUGAUAACGAUCAUAAUCCACAUUAUAAACGCAGUGAAAUCAUCAAAUGAAAAUAAGAACACAGUACAUAAUUACACAGAUAUUAGGCUUAAUUAAUUAUUUAGAUUAAAACACCACUUCACACAGCUUCCUUAGCUGGAAUCUUCUCAUAUCUCAUCUUCUUAGGGCUCAAAUCAUCAUCAUGAUCAUCAACAUCAGUGAAUUCCUCAUACGAAUUGCGAGAAUCGUGACGAUUAGCAAAAAGGCUCCACACCAAAUACAUGGUAAUGUCAGUAAGCGAACUGCACCCAACGCCGAAAAGAAAAGCGACUGGUUUGGUCGCAUAGAGAGGAGAAGUCGUGCUCGAAGGGCAAAAUGCGACGUUUUGGCUCGUGGAUGAGGUGCUGCUCCCAAUCAUCGAUUGAAGGGAGAAUCAGACAGUCGAGGAAGAUUAAGGGACGAUGGGGGCUGAAUUGGCAAAUUUCGGUGAAGAUUGUGACAAAUCUAAUGGGGUUUUCGGAGUUAGAGUUAGGGCAGCGGGAAUUGAAAUGGAUCAAUUAAGAGGAAAUGAAGAGGGUUUUGCAUGGCCUUUUGGAGGCUGAAAUUGAGAGGACACCAUGAAUAUUGUGAGAGCUAGGAGGAGACGCUGAGUCGAUGACGCCAUUGAUUCGUACCACACAGCUUCGAUUGGAAAUGGAGCCUCUAAUUGCUUUAGCCGGUUACCCAUUUUUCAAGUGUUAAAUCUCAGCCGUUGACUACCUUUCUUUACGAUCUAAAGGGUCAUUCGCAAAAGGACAAGCGACUGGGGUACCAAACCCCUGAUGCAAUGUAGCUGGAUCCUAUCUUUCAUUCACAAUAUGCCAGCAAAUGUUAAUUACGAAUAAUUUAUGUCCUUCACCCCUGACAUUGAUAUUAGCAAUUUUCAGUUAAAAGUUAAAUCAUCCCAGCAUUAGCAUUUUUUCUUAAUUAGAGUUGAAUAAUUAUGCCCAAUUGUAUAACAUCAUUUUAAUUAAUAGAUUAGAAACGUGAUUCACGUUUGACAAUAAUUUUCUCUUUUGCUGUUUUGUCGUUAUAGUUUACUGAGACGAGAAGAAAUAAUUGCUCGUUUGGAUACUCUCUGUAUUCACAUUUGACAAAAUAAAUAAAUAAUUUCUUUUUACUGUUUUGUUCCUUUUACUGUAUGAUAUUGAACAAAAUAAUUUUUUUCAGAUCGCUCAAUAGAAUUGCUUCAAAUCAGUUUUACCAGUUAUAAUUCAUCAGCUCCUACUCUUUGCGUUCAAUUCUCAGUCAAGAAAACCUCUCCUGAUUUUCGUCUUUUGAUCUCAUACACACUCUGCUUCUGUUCAUCGUGGUCGCUGCUCGUGCUAGCCGUUUUCUUAUUUAGCUUUGCUCCCUUCUGCCAUCACCUCUCUGUAUACUCAUUGGAUCAAGAAACCCUUUUCUUGUUUCAAUUUUCUGAUC
RNAcentral lists this long non-coding RNA (47616 nucleotides) under Citrus maxima (pomelo). RNAcentral describes it as "long non-coding RNA (CMAX_LNC000113)". The record is from RNAcentral. Lineage: Eukaryota; Viridiplantae; Streptophyta; Magnoliopsida; Sapindales; Rutaceae.